Molecule: long non-coding RNA, 59096 nt
Filed under: Populus trichocarpa (black cottonwood)
Lineage: Eukaryota; Viridiplantae; Streptophyta; Magnoliopsida; Malpighiales; Salicaceae
Description: long non-coding RNA (PTRI_LNC001919)
Source: RNAcentral
CAAAAGCAUUCUUAACCAAACACAUUAAACUAUUUUUUCUUCAACCUUAAUUUCAACCACAGUUUUAACCAAACACCUAUUUUUUCAAACCAACCUCAACUAAAAAUACUUUUUAUAAAACAACUUUUUUCAAACCACAACCACAACAGCUACCACAAUACCAAACACACUCUAAAAGAGAUAGAAAACCACCAUCGCCGGGUUGGGGUUACAGUUACCGUGCGGCAACCACCACCCACGGAUAUCACCGUACAGUGUUCCCUAGUUGACCAUUCCUCAAGAAAAAAUUCUAAUCAGACUGGUUGAGUUGCAGAGUGAAACUCUAGCAAUAAUUACAUACGAUAAGAUGCAAGGCAAGGAAUUUAAAAUCCAACUUGAGCAUAAAUUCAAAAUAUAUAUAUCUUAAAAAGUCGGAAACAAAUGCCGUCUGAAACUUGAAUAUCCAAACAAAACUUUCAUUAGAAACAUCCCAGGAAGUGCUGAAAUAAUCUAACAGGCAGUGACAAUAACCAAAAACAAUGACGCAAAUGAAAAUCAUUAAACCUUGUCAGCCUUGGCGGCAGAGGCAGCAGCCUGUCCUCUAAGACGACCAGUUCUCCUAGCAGCAAUGAGACCAACCUUUUGACCAGGAGGAGCAUCACGCCUGACUGUGCUAGCAUGACCUAUAUGUUGAUGGUUACCACCACCAUGAGGAUGCUCAACAGGAUUCAUAGCCACACCACGCACCUUAGGCCAGCAGUUCCUCUUCACUCUGAACUUGUGGUAAGCAUUACCAGCCUUCAGCAUGGGCUUCUCGGUCCUUCCUCCACCGGCAACCUGUCCAAUCAUUCCACGGCAGCCACUUGGAACGAUCUUCUUGGAGCCAGAUGGGAGCUUGAUCCUGCAAGGAAUAAUCCCAACAUAUAAUUAGCAAAACUAUCUUACAUACAGAGAUGCAAAUAUGCUAAAAAAUUCGACUACUGGCAUGGUGGCAUAUAUCUUUGUCACCGAUCUUGUCAAAUUAAAAAGAUAAUCAAAAUCAUAAAAAUCUACCAGCAUGAAAACAAAAGCAUUCCUUUGCAAACAAAGGAUAACCAUCAUGGCAGAGUUAUUUAACUCAGACCACUGCAGAGAAAUGAAACAUAGGCAACCAAGAAGCAAUAUAGCUGAGCCAAUUAAUCAAAACACAACCAUUCCACUCUAAACAUACUUCUCAACCCAAGUUAUAACCUUUACACAAGUAGCUUCUCAAUUCAUUACAACAAAAAUAACAAAAACCCACUUCAGAUCCAAAACAUAUUUAUUAUAAAACACUCCCAAGUACCCUGACACAAACAGCUUCUCAAUUCAUUACAACAAAAAAAACAAAAACCCACUUCAGAUCCAAAUCAUAUUUAUUAUAAGACAUUGUCAAACAUCGAACCCAGCAAUAAAAUCACAAUAUGAAACAAACCCACGAAAUAAUUUUAAAAAACAACUAAAGUAAAGGGUUGGGUAAUACCUGGUGGUAUCAUUAUCAGGAUUGUGACUGAUAACAAUAGCAUAAUCCCCAGAAGCUCUAGCAAAAACACCACGGUCUCCAACAUGAUGUUCCACGUUACAAACAACAGCCCCUUCAGGAACAGAUCGCAGAGGCAAGACAUUCCCAACCAUCAAGUUAGCCUUCUUUCCACAGUAUACAAACUGUCCAGUAUACAUACCCUCAGCAGCGACAAAAAGCUCCUUCUGCUUCUUAUACCUAAAGGGAUGUCUGAAGGUAACUCGGGCUAAUGGGGCACCACGACCCGGGUCAUGAAUGAUUUCGGUGACAACACCUUUCAAGUAACCAUUUCUUUCACCAAAGUCCAGAGACCUGAACCUUGCCGGACCCUUGCGAUGGUGGGUGUGGGAUUUGAAAACAGAGCCAGCUCCCUUACGCUGGGCACGAAUUACACGACCCAUUUGUGCUGGUUGUGUGUGAAGCGAGUGACUGAAAAUAAGUGGCAAAGAGUGAAUAUGAGAAGAAUAUAUAGGAUUAUUUAAUGAUCAAUAAGUAAAGUAGUCUUUCACUACAAGUCAUAAAAUGAUUUUUAUAUUUAUAAUAUAAGCUUGAUACCUCUUCAUACCCCAUCAUUGGAGACUAGUUUAGUUAAAAAUAAUUCAUAUUGCAAAAUUAAAUUCUUUAAGCUUAAGAAAAUAAAUUGAUUCUGGUUUUUCAAUGGAGAUUAAUUUAAUUAAGAUAAAAGAUUUAAUUUUACAAAAUUCAAAACAAAAGUAUGAUUUCAUCAAAUGAGCAUGCCUAAUUAACGAUACUAAUUUAAUUCCAAAUGUGACAGACCCCCUUAAUACCAACCUUAGCAAUCAUGUUUACAAUAAAACUUCAGAUUUUUACAAGAAAAGAAACCAUAUAAACCCACAGAUUAUGUUUUUUCCUUGACAUGCAACAGCCAACAGAAGCAGGAAAAAAUUGUCAAAAAAGAUGAAACAGAGUAGAGGAUCAAGAUUCCUGCUUGUUUAAUUUAAAAUCAUAUUAAAUUUGUAAAAUUCUUCACAAAUUAGCUGGUUUACAAAGAAUGAAUCACAUAAACAUAUUGAUCGACAAAAAAAAUAAGAAUAAAGAAGACCAUAAAUUAUCCCAAGUCAAGAAUCCCCGCCAACAGUGGAUAUCAAUUAUAGUUACUAGGAGCGCCAACCCAACAGAACCAUAAAAGUACCAUAAAAAUGACUAGGACUCCUUCUGGUCCCCAUUCAGGUCUCAGUUUUUCUAUCUUUUUCGCUCUGCUCUCUCUUCGACAUACUGUAUUAUGUCGACCCAACCAGUUUUAACCAUUCUUCGCAGAAUCUUUUACCCAAUCAGGUUCAUCCAUUUUUUUAAAACAAAACAUUAGCUUUGCCAAGAGAUGUAAAAAAAAGAUAAAUUGGGAUAUUUCAAAAUUUCAGCGUAGUUGUUUUAUAUCUAAAAUUUGAAUGGAUGCAAACAUAUGCAUAUGGAGUUUUGAGUUCAAACUUAUACAUUAAGGUAGUUUUUACGUGGACAGUAAUGGGGAUCUAAAAUCCUAAAAUAUCUGGUCUUGGGUUAGCUAGGCACGGUGAAGAGAUCUAUGGCACUAGAAUAUGCACUGUGGGGUUAAUUGACAGACAACGCAGAUGCUUACCUGAAUGGUGGAGGCAAGAGCAAGCCGCCGGAGGGGAAAGAGCAGGAUGGCAGCGACAAGAGCAAGCCGCCGGAGGGGAAAGAGCAGGAUGGCUGCGACAAGAGCAAGCCGCCGGAGAAAGUAGAAGGAGUUAGGUUUUAGAAACCCUAAAUUCUUAAUAUAUAUAUAUAGGAGGAUGGGUUAAAGGGUGGCUGUGUUGGUGUUUAGAAAUUGUAGCCAUGAAUUUGGGUUUGUGGGUAUGGAAGAAAUGCCCAUUUGAGUGGAUUGGCCCAUGAUGAAAAUAAUUUCUUUUUUAUUCAUGUAUUGAAUGGAGUGAUAAAAUUAAUUUCAUUAAUUUUUAACUAAAUAAAAAUUAUUUAGUAUAACUAUACACUCCUCUCCCACGUAAUUUUUUUUAAUAAUGGGAUCCAUAUUUAGGUGGGAGGGAAGAGCAUGAUAUAUCUAAUAAUUUCUCUAUAAAUAUAAAUAGAAAGGGUAGAGAUAAAUAUAGAAUUUUUCCCAUUUACAAAUUUCACAGAGAAUAUUAGAGAUUUGAUGUGCUAUUUUUUUUAUACGCGAGUGUCUCUACAACGUGAAAUUUUAAAAUUUUAUAAUCAAAUGCAUCUAUUAUAUUUCCUCAUCAAAUAUAUAUUUUUUCAUUAAAUUGUCAUGUGAUCAGAUCAACCGGGUCUUAUUGUAUUGAAAAAAAAAUAAAAAGUAACGGGUUGCAAUCGAGUUUUUUAUUGGGUUUUGCCAGGUCACAUCGAGUUUUUUUUUCUUUUAUUUUUUUUUUCAAUCCGGUUUGGUUUCAGUCUCGGGUUGGCCGGGACCCAGAUUAAUCCAUUAGGCCAGACCGGAUUUUAUAACGCUGGAUUUAAAUUACUUUUUUUUAUAAACGAGAUCAGGGAUUUAACUGAGAAGUCAAUAUAUCUACAUCCGUGUGUGUAGAGGUGUAAAAACAAGAAAAAAAACAUAGCUUUGUUGUGUAAUAAAUUCUUAUUCUAUAAAAACAAUUAGUUAUGUUAUUUUUUAAAAGUUUAGAGCCGGAGAUUUGAUUGGAUUGCGAGAAAACGAGGAAAUUAAUUUAAUUUGAGCCUUUUUCUUGGACAAGUUGCUUUUAUUUUACUUAAUUUUAAUCUAAAUAAAUUAUUAUUUUGCCUUUUUAUUUUGACUUGGUUGGAUAAGGAUAGGAAGUCUACACCUGUUACCUUUUAAAAUUAGAAGCAUUCAAUUGAUAAAGUUUUGAAAGUUCAAGCACUCGAGCAGGAAAAAAAAAAAGUAUGCACAUUCAAAUAGAAGAAAAUAAAAAUACACGUGUUAGAAAUAAUCUGCAAGUUCAUGCACAUUGGACACACGUGUUAGAAAUAAUCUGCAAGCUCACACGCACUGACGAUAGCAAAAAUAGAAGUAAGAACAUGUGAAUAUAAAAAUAAAAAAUAAAAAACUCCAUACACUAAAUAUGAAAUAAUUAAUCUUUAUUUGAAAAGUCAAAUUAAAUCAAUUACUUUAUUAUCGAUCUUUUUAUUAAGUGUUCAAUUGACAUUAUUCUGUGGGCCACUGUAAACUAGGUAGGAAAAUUAAAAUUAAUAAUAAAAAAAGAAAAGAAAGGAAAAACCAUGUGCUUUGAAAUUGUAUUUAUAAGCAAUUAAAUCCAAAUUGUUAUUAAUCCAAUUUUUUUUUCUCUGGCCCGGUUGCCUUAAAGACAAAAAUCAAGUUGUUGUUGGAUUACUGUGUUGGUAUAAAAACAAAGAAAAUAAAAAAAAAAUAUUUAGUUAAAAAAAUAAAUAGAAAUUAUAUUUACGGAGUUGACAGAACAUAUAAUCAAUGGUCUAAGGCCUUUACUUGAUAAAAAAAAAACCCAUAAAUAAAUAAAAAUUAUUUUAAAAAAUAAAAAUUAUCCUUACUUAACAAAAGAUCUCAUAUGUAAAGAUUGCUCACCACUUCAUUUGUUAAAUAUACAUAAAAAAAUAUUUCUUAAAUAUUUUAAAAAAUCUAUUUAUAAUUUUACCAAGAUUCCUAUGCAUUUUUGUUCGAGAUAUUAACCAAACGUUAGGCCGAGAAUUUUCACAAUUCACUAAAAUAAAAUUAAAAAGAAGAAGAAGAAGAAGAAGGAAGAAGAACAAGAAGACAGGAGUAGAGCCUCCUAACGAGAGGAAACUGAUAGCGGAGUUUUCAUUUCAUCAAGAACAAGGCAGUUGUACUGCAAAGAUACAAAAUCACUGCAAAUCCUCGAAAACAAAAGAUGAUUAUUCAAGAACGCAACUACAUUUGUAUCUCUAUCCACCUGCGAAGCCAUGAAAUGAGCUGCCUUAUUCCCAGUUCUACAAACAAGGUGAAAAACAAGAACAUUAAUCAGCUGCCUGCAUGAUAUAAAAGACUAUAGAUUCUCUAUAUCCCAUGCAAAUGGAGGAUUUCCGAGCCAAUAAUAUGGUAAACUGAAAAAAAAGUGCUUUGAUAUUUAUAAAUAGACGAGGCAGAAACCAUCGAGUUUUUCCUUUCUACAAAUAAAGGUUUUCCAGCCUCCUCGCGGCUUCCAGGAUACUCUCUCUGUGUCCAAAAGCACAAACUCUCAUGAACUCUUCACCUGCUGGACCAAAACCAGAACCUGGAACAGUUAUUAUAUGAGUCCUCUCCAGAAUCUCGGUAAAUACAUCCCAAGAUUUUGAACCAGGAAAAUGUACCCAGAGGUAAGGAGCAUUUUUACCACCAUAUACUUUUAGACCAAGAGAAGCAAAAGUGUUGAGCAGUAUUUUUGCGUUCUCCUUGUAGUAGUCAGUAAUGGAACACACAGCUGCGAAACCCUCUGGGGAAAGACAUGCCAGUCCACCAACCUGAGCUAUGCUUGAUGCUCCAUUGAAGCAGGUGCAUACAAUGCGAUUGAAGUCAUUUAUUACGGGAAAACCAUUUGAGAAGGACAGUUCUUCAGGAACAACUGUCCAGCCAAGACGAAUGCCUGUGAACCCUGCGAAUUUAGAGAAAGAUGAAACUUCAAUCGCAACCUCUCUUGCCCCAGGAAUUUCAAAGAUCGACCGAGGAGAAUCAUCAGUGAUAUAGGCUGCGUAGGCAGAGUCAAAAAUUAUGAUCGAUCCAUUCUCCUUAGCAAACUUCACAAGUUGCUCCAACUGCUGUCGCGUUGCUGCAUGUCCGGUGGGAUUAUUCGGAGAGCAAAAGAAAAUUAUAUCAGUUCGUGAAGUUUUAGCCAAGUCAGGAAAAAAGUUAGUCUGGGGCACACAUUUCAUGUACUCAAUGUUCCCAUACAUCCGAGAUUUAUCUUCAAAAUCACCAGCUUGACCAAUUAUGACACUUGAAUCUACAUAGGCUGGAAAGGAUGGAUCCUGCACGGCUAUUGACACAUUGGAACCGAGGAGCAGCUGAAGGCGAGUAAUAUCACACUGUGCGCCAUCUGACACGAAAACUUCUGUUUCCUUUAUCCGAACAUCUUUGUAAAAUGUUUCUGCAAUAGCUUUCCUCAAGGCUUUGUUGCCCUGUUCAGCUCCAUACCCUCUAUAACCUUCUGCCGUUGAAAGUGAAAGUGCAUAAUUUGCCAUGCUUGAAGCUAUGAUAUCCGGUAGGGGCUCUGUGGUAUCCCCAAUUCCAAGGCUUAUCAAUUUUGCAUCGGGAUACUUCUCAAUGUGUUGAACCUCACGCUUUGAGAUCUCAGGAAACAGAUAGCCACUACGUAACUUCUCCAUGUUGACAUUGCGGGGUACCUUUGUAUUGCCAGCAAUUCCCUCCUUUUGGGUUUUCAAACUGGCCUGGAUAAUCCUAGGCCGCAUGAAAUCUCUACAUAACAUAGAAUUUCCAGUUGAAGAAUUGUACAUUUUGGAUUUGGAUUUUUUCCUCAGUACCAACUCUUUCAAAGUUUUCUCUCAGAUGCGAAACAAGCAGUAGCAUGAAUACCACCCCUGCACAUCGAGAAAUAUAUAGACGCAAGCUGCUGUCAUUCAGCACUCAAAAAAAUGCGUCAUAAUCAUGUCACCCUAGACCUCAAUUAUUUUCAAGGUGGCCAAUACAGAAAUUUCCACAACAGUUAGCUGGCAAGUGUGUUUUUUUUUUUUUGUGGUUUUAAAAAAAUAAAUUUUAAAAAAAUUCUGUUACAUGUGGUAGUUAGAUUUAAAUAUAUAUUUGAUAAAAAUUGUGGUUGAAGUUUAUGUGUAGUAAAAAACAUGUAUAAAAUAUUUCGUGUAAUAUUUUUCAAAAUGCUUUUUACUUGGAAAUGCAUCAAAAUAAUAUUUUUUUUAUUUUUUAAAAAUUAUUUUUGAUAUCAGCGCAUCAAAAUGAUUUGAAAACACAAAAAAUAUAUCAAUUUGAAGCAAAGAAAAACAUAAAAAAAAAUUUAAUUUUUUCAAAAGCACUUUUAAAACUCAAAAACAAACAGGGUUUUACGAAACUCAGUUAAAAAAACAUGUAAAAACUGCUGCACAAAAACUCGUUUCAAACUUAAUUUUUUAGUGGCCCCCGCAAUAUAAAACACAAUUUGAUUUGUUAUCAAAUACCUUGCCGUGUUUGUUUCACCGCAAACGCAAAAGCCGAUGAAAAACAAACACAACCUUAAUCCUUCGAAGCAAAAACAUAUGAAAUCGUUCUGUUAAUUCUUUUAAGGAAUAAUAUAAGUCAUAACUUAAGAAUUUAUCUAACAGCUCAACCUUACGGAUUGAAAUGAUCCUUCAAUAUAAUAUCAUAACCUUGUGACCAAGCGGUUAUAUCAUGUCUAUUAUAUUUGAUAAGAUUUAAUAUAGGAUAAUUUGGAUGCAAGUUUCAAACUCAAAUAUUUAUUUAACUUUUAAAUUAAGAUGUUUAUUUGAGAUGCUAUCUAAGUCUAUCUUAAAUAUUUAAGUUGAAAUGAUUCCAUAACAAACAAAUGUUGAACUAAUCCAUGCAUUUAAUCCAUAAUUAAUCUUAUGACUCGUCUAGGUUCCACUUAUCCACCCAAUUUCCUCCCCGUUUCCUUUUCGCACCUUUCCUUUGUGUCAUCAUCUUGACUUGUGUAUAAUGCACGGACAAUUAACCAAGUUUCAGUGGUAUUUCCAUUGAUCAUAUAGUCUCUUCAAUAAGGACAAGAACAGUACCAGUUCAAACAAGUGUUUUUAAUGAUCGAUAUUCAAGUUUUCUACUUUGUGAAUCAGGGUGCCCCUUGUGCUUGCUUCUCAAUCAGACUCGGAUCCUUAAUUUAGACUUGUAACAGAAGAUUCAGCCCUUGAUCUUCACAAUCGUUCGUGGACACAACUUAUUACCAUUAAUUAGGCCAGUGGUAUUGAGGUAUCAAAGAGCCACUCAACCUAAAAGGUUAAGCUGGCAAGAGACCUCUAGCAAUACUGAUGACCGAGUUCAAAAUUUCACGUGCAUGAAACCAACGAAAUAAGCAGUACGACCACACCUAUCCCAUAACCUCUUUGACAAGUGAAGAGGGUAUUAAUUUCCUCUCUCAGGCAUUUCGUCAAACAAAUUGAACAUCACGAAGCAACGCAAUCGAAACAGGCAAGUGAAAUUACUUUCUCCAAAACAAUAUCUACCCCAAAUUAAAUUCCAAAAUCUUCAGAAGUACUUUCGCAGAAUUUAUGAGAGAAAUUAACAUUCAUAAAUUGAAAACACAUAUUGACAAAUCAAUGUUCAAGUACCUUCCAAGCAAUUAAUCAUAAUAUGCUUAAAAUUGACUAAAAGCUUGUCAAAAUGUUUUCAAAUAGAGCUAAAACUUAGAAAGCACACUCACCCAAAAGAAAAUGACAGGAAAGUUGAGCACCCAGAAGCUGCAAAACAAACUUCAGUGAAAAUGACUUCUGCUGAUAUGAAAAAUUGAAGAAACUGAGUAACCAUUACAUGUUCAUGUUUAUUGGGCAAUAAACUAAGUAAACACCUAACACUAACAGAUAAAGAACAAAACUUCAACGUCAACUAACAAAAUUAGUACUUCAAUUUUACAAAAUCUAAAGUCUUUCAGUGAGAAGACCUGGAGCUUAAAAUAUAAAUAUUAUUAGAACAUGACAAAAUCUAUUAUAUAAAACGUGGAAAAAUGUAAAGUCGAUGCAGACCCAUUACCAGAAGUUCCAUGCAGCGACGUGUUUCAGACUCCACUAGCUACUUUACGUGUUUUAUAAAAGAAAUAUAUGUUUUUUUAAUGUUAUUUUAUAGUUAAAAAAAUAUAACAAAUCAAAAAAUUUAUGGAUACAUAAAUUAAAUAAACUAAGAGUUAUGUGCGUUAAUAAAUAAAUAAAAAAUUAUUAAUGACAUCUAAAAACAAAACUUGAAAAAUCAAGAAACAAAUGUAAAACAAAAUAUUUUAUCUUGAAAAAUAGAGUAUUAAAUUGAUUGAAUAAAAUAAAAGAAAAAAAAUAAAUAACAUAUAAGGCUACACAUAUUAAAAAUAUUAUAUGAAAAUAAAUAUUUUUUUAUUUUAAAAAAUAUAGUUUAUCUAUAUAAAAGAUAAAAACAAAACUAUAGAUGAACUAGAAAAACUUCUUCGAAAAUUAAAUAAUAACAAAAAAAUCAAUAUUAUUUAAAAGAGGCUCUCUGAACAAAAUAAAAAAAGAUGAGGUUUCGUCAACUUUUUUGGUUUUUAGUUUUUUAACCGGUCACAUUACUUUAUCUCUUUUCAAUUGCAUUCUUUAAAGUUAUAUCUUUAUGGUAACCAUGCCAGACCCAAGGCGCCUGAGUCCGGCAACCAUGCUAACAACAGACGACGCAUCGCCUGUUUUGUCCAGAUUCAGCCACUGUGGUGGCCGGAAAAUCGGGGUUUGUGCUCUUUUGACUCAAAAACCUGUUUUGCAACCCGUUUUUUAUCCAAAACAUCCUAGAAACCAUGACAAACCCAUUCAUGACCUUAAAAAACCGCCCAAAAACCAAACUCAAUCCCAAACAAAAAAUCAACUCGAGCUCAGAUUUGUUUUUUCAUGAACUUUUAAGAUACAAAAGCACCUAAUAUGAACUCCCCGCAUCAAAUGGAACAAUUUGACACAAAAACUUUCAUUUUGGUGGUCUAAAUCGGUGCCAACAACAAAUUUCUUUUUCUACCGCUAGAAUCUGGCGACCCCUCUCUCUCCUCUCUCAUCUAGAGACCAAAAAAUAACAAAAAGAAACCUCUAUCAAAAUGUAAUUGGAACAAUUUCAAGGGACCGUUAUUAUAUAAUUUGCGUUAUUGUUUAAGUUGGAGGAUCAAAGUGAACGUUUUUAAAACUUAUUGUACGUCAUUUAUGUUUGUCGCGUUUUUCAUUUCAGUUUUUUCUCUUUCAAUCUCUUUUUUUUAUUUAAAAAUUUAAAAUCAUUGCUGCUUAAAUAGACUUGAUUGUCUAACACAAGUUUGAUGAACAAACUUAAAAAACAAAAUUUUGUACUGAUAAAUGUACAGUAAAAAUUCGACUCGUAGUAGUAUAUAAGUAAAUCUUUUGUAAAGGUUGAAAAUUCUAAAACUGAAGAGAUAUCCAUGUCUUGAAUCUUGAGCGGGGAGCAGAAACCAGGGAAGUCAAGACACAGAACUUUGAAUAUGUUCUUGUCGGGCAGGAGCAAUUACCAAUGUUAUCGUCAAACUUGGAACUGAGAGCAGAAAUCCAAAACAAAAACGUCAUGGAGACGAAGGAAGCUAACCACCCGUGUUUACCAUUUCCAUGCUCGGGUUUUUUUUUCCCUCAUGGCAGCUUGCUAGCUUGAGCUUGCAGAUACUUCAGGGAUAGCAAAUUAACCGAACAAAGCUUUGAACUCAAAAAUUUGUUAGCUUGGCUGGAGUUUUAACUUGUUGAAAUUGAAACAUUAUAAAAUUCAAGACUUCAAGUGGCAUCCAAGCCGUGCAGUUAUAAACAUUUUUUAGCCAAAGUUUAUCUCAGCACUUAGCGAUUUGUUUGAAAAUAUAAUAAUAAUUAUGGUUUAAAAUGUUUUUUAUUUAGAAAUAUAUUAAAAUAAUAUUUUUUUAAUUUUAAAAAAUUAUUUUUAACAAAAAUACAUCAAAACUAUUUAAAAAUAUAAAAUAAAUUAAUUUUUUUAAAAAAUUAAAAUUUUAAAAUAUAUAGUUUCUACCCCAACUUAGUUCAAACACGUGAUUUAAGUGACAUGAUGUGAUGCUUGAUAUGCUGACUUCCAUGUUAGUAUAUUUAAACCACAUGGUAGCUAAUGUACUGUGUUGCUACGAUAAUAUUCCAUGGGCAUAUAUAUAUAAAUUCGCGAAUUUAAUUAUUAUCGAAAUAAAAUAUAUUGUAAAAGUACUUUUAUCUAAAUGUUUUUAUAUUCACUGAACUAGUUUACAGGCAAACUGUUAAAAAAGAGAGAGAGAGAUUUAGUCCAUCGACCUGGUUUUUUUACCAUCCAAAUUUAUCCAGCCUGAUCAGAUAAUUUGGGCUGCCUAACUUAUUUUGGUUUUUUACCAACUAAAUUGAGAAAUACUUGUUUGGUAUUAAUCUAUUAUUGUGAUAUAAUUCCUGGCGUAUUUAAAUUAUUUAAGCCGGAAGCACAACAAACGGGUCUUGAACUUCGGAUGCCCAGAACCAGGUUCUAAUAUAUAUAUAUAUAUAUACAAGAAAUUAAAAGAAAGAAAGAAAUAUAAUAUGGGUAUCCGAAUUUUUGUUCUGUUGCUCAAAAUUAUCUUAAAAUUUCCCUCCUCUACAAGAAAUUAAAAGAAAGAAUGCUGAGCUCUAAAUAGAUGAUGAGAUGAUUUGCCAAAGAAGAAUGAUCAAGGGAAUAGAGUAUAUAUCAUGAGGUGGAAAAACAUCAUCUUGGCAGGUAUAUCUAAAGGUAACGUUUAUAUAUGCAUUCUGAAGGAUUUUAUAUUAACGUGCUUGAAGAGAAUUGCAGAGAUAUUUAAAACCUAAUCCAGGAUCGAUCGAGGCCAUAUGUCUUAGGAUUGAUCAAGGUUUACCAUAAUAUAUAUAUAUAUAAUGAUUUUUUUUCAAAAACAAAAAAAUUCAAUAAGUUGAUGACUCGAUUUUAACCCGAUGAUGCCGAGACAACUAGAUAACCUGGUUAAUUUAAUUUUUUUUUCAAGUUUUUUUAAAUUUAAGUCGAUCCAGUUUCUUGACGGGUUAGGUUUUAAAUCUUGAAUCAACUCGUGUAGGUUAGUAUGGUUUUUAAAAUAAUGGUUAAUGGAUAGUGCAAAGCUUAAUUAGAAAAUUAUAUUCAUACAAAAUAAUAAUCAUUAAGACAUCGUUAGUUACUUAAAAAAAAAAAACAUCAAUACUAACCAAUUCCAAGUAAGAGAGAAGUUAAUGGAUAAUCCCAUGGACAUUGAUAAUUAUAUAUAAAACUAAAUCACGCGGGGAAAGUUUUGUUCAUCAAGAUUCAUGGCACUGUGGAUUGGAGCAAUGUAAUGACAGAGUUAUCCCUGCCAUGAAGAGUUACAAAGAUUGUAGGGGAAGGGUGGGGUUGUCUUUUCAUUGGGAUGCAUUUGAUAUUAAAUGGAUGGUUUAGAAUAAAACAGUCAUUGCAAAUUUUGGUGGGGCAUGGUUAGGUUGCAGGCCUUAGGCUGCAGACACUUAACACUGGGCCUGCUAUGCCCUGGAUGCUAGGACUAGAUCCGCGCGCUUGGCAGGAGACCCUGGUGAGCGAGUCUACAACACCAUAUGCCUGGGUUUGCGGACCAAGACGCCUAGGGUCUGCAGACCCGCUCCCCUAGGUCCAGACCCAUUGGUAACGUAUCUGCGUCCGGACCCACGAUUAAUGGAUCUCGAGUUGGGACCCAAGGCUAAUGGGUCCAGCGUCGGCACCCAAUUUUCUUAGGUCCCGCGUCUAAACCCAAUUCUCUUCUAUGAUAUCCCACAUCGAAAGCGAGCGUCCAGAGCGAAAGCUUUAUGAGUAGAGCCGGUUGCUGACAUGUUGUAUGCAUUGUGGGGCGUUAGGCUCAGAAGUGGGCUCGCAUCACCAGGAACAAAACCGUAAGGGCGGUAAGGCCUAAAGUGGACAAUAUACGGCAUGUUAGGCCGGGCUAUUACAUUUUCGGUCCAUCGUUAAAAGCCAAUUCUCUUGGGUCCUUCGUCGUGACCCAAUUCUCUUAGGUCCCGCAUCAGAAUCUAAGACGAAUGAGUCCUGUGUUAAAUCCCAAUUCUCUUGGAUCCUGCGUCAGAACCCCAUUCUAUUGGGUCCUGCCUUAGGACCCAAUUUUCUUGGGUCUUGUGUCAGGACCCAAAGCUAAUGGGUCUCGUGGAGGACCCAAGGUUACAGGAUCCUAGGUUUCUAAACAUUAUUAUUUGUAUUAUAAUUAAAAGUAUUAAUGUAAAAAAUAUUUUUAUUUGUGUUAUAAAUAUUUUUAUUUCCAUUAUAAUUAAAAGUAUUAAUAUUAAAAAUAGUAUUAUUUGUGUUACAAAUAUUAUUAUUUUUAUUAUAAUUAAUAUUUGUAUUAUUAAAAAUAUUAUUUUUAUUAUUAAAAAUAUUAUUAUUUUUACUAUAGUUAAUAUUAUUAAUAAAUUUGAAAAAACAUUAUUAUCAAUAUUAAAAAAAAAUCAUAGAUUUGAUUUGAAGGGUAAAAUUAAAAAUUAUUUUUAUUAUUGUUAUUGUUAUUAUUAUCAUUAAUAAAUCUGAAAAAAAUACUAUUAUUACUAUUGAAGAAAAAACAUAAUUUUUUUAAAAUAUUAAAAAAUACAAGAAUUUUGACAGACAAGUAAAAUAUUAUUAUUUAUAUCAUAAAUAUUAUUGUUAGGUUUAGCGUUGCAACCUUACUUAGUGUUCUUCAAUCUUAGAUUUUUUUGAAAUUUUUUAUAAAAAUAAAAAGUUAACUCGCAGCAGCAUAGCGCGACAAUCUAACUAGUAAAUACAAAUUAAUGGUGCAAACCUACAAGAAGGAGUGUCAAUCAUUUAUUGAAAAAUAACUAUUUUCUAAUUAAAGUGGAUAAUUGUGAAAAUCAUUAAUUGGUCUCCCAUCCAUCCAUUAAAAAUUAUAUUUCAAAUGACUCGUUUUCCAGAUCAUACGCGGUUUUCACAUUAAAUUGUUCAUAGUAUCUAGCAGAAUGGCCCAAUCAAGAAAUAAAAUCUUUUUAAUGGUGUAAUUGAUAUAAAAAGUACUUUUAAGUAGACAACUAAAAUUAUUCCAAUAAUUGGGGGAUGAAUUUAAAGUUUUCCCAUAAUCUCAGUGCGUGACCUAAAAACCCUCUCAUGGGCUCACUCCACGGUCCAAUUACAAAACCCAUAACAUUUUCAUGGUCUCGAGAUUUAAGCGCCCUUCUUAAUUUUUUGACUUGCCAAACGCGGCAAAGGCUAAAAAAAAUCCACUUUCACUCCCCAAGAAAACCACGAUCCCGCUCUCAUCGUUUCCACCAAUAACAUUCAAGCAUUUAAAUCCAACAGCCCAAAACCUAAACCCCACGCCUCACACGGAUCGUUACUUGAUCCAACGGCCACCCUUCCACCUAUCUCUCAAUAAAACAGGCCACAGAUCAUUGCUUCCCAGAUAAAAAAAAUCAAGAAAUAUAGAGUGAAAAAAGAAGAGGAAAAAAUGUCAGGGAGAGGAAAAGGAGGAAAGGGACUGGGAAAAGGAGGAGCCAAGAGGCAUCGUAAGGUUCUUCGAGAUAACAUUCAGGGCAUCACCAAGCCUGCGAUUCGUCGACUGGCUAGGCGUGGCGGAGUCAAGCGUAUCAGUGGGCUUAUCUAUGAAGAAACCAGAGGUGUCCUCAAGAUCUUCUUGGAGAAUGUGAUUCGUGAUGCAGUCACCUACACAGAGCAUGCUCGCCGCAAGACAGUGACUGCAAUGGAUGUUGUAUAUGCUUUGAAGAGACAGGGCCGUACUUUAUAUGGUUUUGGUGGUUGAUUCAGUGAUUCAUGUACUGGGCUGAUUGAGUUUUAGGUCUUUUAGAACUGGGUUGUGGAUAGCUGUAUCUCUUGCUACCCAAGUGUCAUGUAUCUAUGUGUUUCUGUUUUAAUGCUUGAAUGAAUGGCUCUUAAUUUGUGUUUCUGUUUCCUUUCUGCUUCUUAUGAUUCGCUUCAAUUCUGUGAGCCCUCAAUGUCUCGAAACAAGGUCGCGAGCCGAUCUGUUUGGCUUCAUGAUACAUAUAGGGAAGGAGAUCCUGCCAAGGGAGAUUAAGCAUAUAUUGGCCGAAUAAAUCAGUGUGAUUGAGCCAAAAACUUGGCGGAGCUCAAAAGGACAGAGGCAAGUCUGUCCAGUGUUUGCUUAGACCCUGUUUGAAUUUGAUAUUUUUUUGCCCUUUAAUUUUUUUUUUUGUGAUUUUGGAUGUUAAUAUUAAAAAUAAAUAAAUAAAUCUUAAAAAAUAAAAAAAUAUUAUUUAAAUACAUUUAAAAAAUAAAAAACAAUUUCUAUUACACUUGCAAACACCAUUUAAUUUUUCUUAUCGGAGCCGAUACCGCAUAUUUUUCCAAUCAUGGUCAAGAGAAUUCUGUCGACGACAAUCAAAUACAAUCCACGGUCCGACCUAGUCCCAACUCGACAUCCAAGAAAUAGUAUCAUCGUAGGCCCAGCCCAUGUACCACUAGACGGCCCAUUUCCUCAUUCACUACACUUUUUACAUUAAAGGAAACUUUUUAUUUUUAUAAUAUAUUAAGCUAGCCUAUCAAUUUAUUAAUUAACAGUAUUUUAAUAAAGUUAACCUAAUUAACGUGUCUCAAAAGACAUCCCUUACAUCAGGCAAAAGCUAGAAGAUAACCUAUGACAUCAAAGCCACAAGGCACUAUAAACCCAAGACGGAUAUAAAGAGAAAAAACCCUACAAAGAAGAAAAAGCACUGCUCUCACACACACAAAAUCAAACUCAAAAGAGCAGCAAAAAUAGAUUCAGAUCGAAAGAGAAAGAAAGAUUCGAUCUCACAAGAAGAUCGAAACCGAGCACAACCAUCCAAGCCAAAGCACAAAGAAACCCACAGAGAGAGCGAAAAGCACAAAAAGAGACCUAAAAUGGCAUCAUCUGCAUCAGGGACUCAAGUUCGAGCAUCACACAUCCUAAUAAAACACGAGGGUUCAAGAAGGAAGGCAUCAUGGAAAGACCCAGAAGGUCGUGUGAUCAAAAACACGACAAGGGAUAGUGCUAUUUCUGAACUCAAAGCAAUUAGAGAGGAUAUUGUUUCUGGCAAAGCUAAGUUUGAGGAUGUCGCUUCUAGAAUCUCUGAUUGUAGCUCUGCUAAACGUGGCGGCGAUCUCGGUUAGUUCUUUUUCAUGGUUUUUUUCUUGUUUUUUUUUGCAAGAUAUUUUUUUGGGCUGCUUUACUUUUAGUUAUUGAGUGAAUUGUAAUUUGGAGAUUUUAGCUCUUAGAGGUGUUGUGGUUAGAUUAGGAAGACUAAGGUGAGGUUUAGUCAUUGUGAUUUGUUGCUGAAACCUGUGUGAUGCUUGCAAUUAGUGUUGGAACUGAGUGGGGAUGUUUCUUUGGCUUUAAGUUUGGAAUAUCUGUGUGUUGUUUGAUGGGAUAUAAGAUUUUUUGUUUCUAUUGCGUAUGUAUGAAAUGGGUAGUGGUUAUUUUCUUGGUUAGUGCUAGUUGGUGAAUUUGAUUUUACUCGAAGAUUAAGUACGGUGAGGUUAUAGGAAUUUAGUGUUCCGAGGUGAAAAUUAUUUGGUGGUGACAUUAGUUACCGGGACCAUUUUUUGUAUUCUGCAGUGAAAUUAGUUACUCGGGCCAAUUUUGUGCUAUGCUGUUAUUAAAGUGCUCAACUCCUUGCUUUUGACGGUAGAAAUGUUUGAUAUAGAAAAUCAAGUCUCUACACCACUGAUGUAAUAGGUGGUUAUUAAUUUAUUAUGGAUAUGUUAAAUGGCUGAUAGUUGAAUUUUGUGCUUGUAUGUACCUUUGGUAAAGGCUGGAUUAAGCAAGAUGAUCCAACACUUGUUCACUUGUGGAGCUACUAUGAUUCUUUUUGAGAAAUUUGUUAAUCGUUUUGCUUUAUGACACACUCUUUAUUAAAAUGAACAUAAUUUGAAACAAAUUGAGUCGAUAUUCAUGCACUUUUGUUCAAAGCAUCCAUGGGAUUGCUUUUGCAUCAACAUAGUUGAGAUAGCUAAUGAUGAAGUGAUCAAUUUAAUAGAUGAUAAUGAGGGAAGUACUUGAUGAAAUGUCUGGAAAGAGUACAAUGCUUUCAUUGUUGACCUUUAUACCUCCAAGCUCAUGCUUUGUGAUUACUUUAAGGUGUCAUCAAACCUAGAUGCGUUCUGCAGAAUAGCAUGCGCUUUGUAUUUUGAUUCUUUCUUUGUGUGAUAAUGGCUUAUGUUGCUUAACAUACUGGAUAAAUUCAUGAACUGGUCUCAGGUAUCUGAACCUGGAGUUCACCUCUUUGGUGUUUUAAUUCAAUUACGUUAUUGUUUUUAUAUGAUGGUUUUGGAAAAAUCAGGGAAAGGAUUAAGAGAGAACCUUAAAGCAAAGAAUAUGUACUAGGUUCUUAAUAUAUUUCUUUCAGGACAUUUGAUCUACUUUCUACUAAACUAGAACUCCGCUCAAUCCCUAAAGAAAUCUAAGCCUUAAUACCAAAUUAGUUCUGCAUUUGUUGUGAGAUGAGUGACAUUAAGCUUGUGCAUAUGUCACAGAACAUGGUAAAAUAAAAUUUGUUUACACUGACACUUUAUAGGAGGCUGCAUAAACAAUUUCAAAGAAAUUGAGCCAAGAAGGCUGUUCUUCUGUUUGACUUACAACAUCUAUGGAAUUGCUGUUGCAUUAACACAUUUGAGAUAACUAGAUAUGAACUUUUAAAUUCAAUAAAUGAGAACAAGAAUUGCUUGGUAAUAGAAGUCUUCAAAUACUAUGAUGCGUUUACAAUGAGAGCAUACCUCUAAGCUUGUUGUUUGUAGUUGCCUUUAAAUUUUAUUAAAUGAUGUAUUUUUUGGGAACACAUGCUCACCUCUUGAUAUGUCAUGUAGCUCACAGUUUUAGAUUGAUAGAUUCCUGGUUUAGCCAUGAUUAGUUAGGUGUGACCAUGUUUUUGUGAGCCACAUUUUCUCUCUUUCCUGCCUUCUAGGAGCAGAACCAGAAGUUCAUCUCUGUUGUGGUUAAUUAUGUGUUACCUUGCUCUUAGUACACCGUUGCUGUUGUCAGUAUUAAUUUGAUUAGGUUAGGUUAAUAAAAUUUGUGUAUUUGAUAAACUAUCUAGUGUACAAGGGUAAAUGCCUCCUUUUGCCACUAUACUCUUGUUUUUUGUAAGAUUUUUGCCUGUGCACAAGUUUAUUUGUAUGGAUUCCAUCCUUUUAACUUGUGAUUCUGUUAAGGACUGUCUUUUUGUCUAACUCUGUUAGUUUGAGUGCCACAUGUUGGUCAAUCAUUCACUGAACUACGAGAAAAUGAUGACGUGUGGAAUUUUAAAAAACAGGCAAAAAAAAAAAAGCAAAAAGAAAGAAAAGAACAAAAAGAAACAUGUUUUCUUAAAUUAUUAGAACCUAAUCCAUAAAAAAACAAUUCAGUUUCUUCUUUUUAGACCAAAGAACGACCUUUAAUUAAGACAGACGAGGAAUUCUACUAGAUAAUCAACCUAUUUCUCCUCAAUCAUCUAUUUUCUACCAAGCUCAAAGCUUUAACUCCACCCCGCCCAAUUAAGCUUUUGUUCAGGUUUAUGGUGGCUAGGUAACCACCAGUGUCCAAAUGGAUACUAGGUCAUCAUAUCAAAUUUGUUGAAACCAGCUUGAUGCAUUUGCGACCUUAGCAACAUGUGUGUGCGUGCAUGUCUGAUGAGAACAAAGCUAAGAGAGUUUUAUACUUUGUUGGGAAGCCGCAUAAUCUUCAAGAUGUGAUCUUUGCUAUAUUAUUGCCUCCUGGCCUUUGUAAACAUAAUUGCUGAUAUUUUAGUUUCAACUUAGAUUCUGUCUGUUUUGGUUAUAUAUAGUUUUAUCUGUAUCAUCUCAUCAUCAAAUGUAUUGGUCUAAAUAAAACUCCAUGUUGAUAUUUCUACAGGGCCCUUUGGUCGAGGCCAGAUGCAGAAGCCUUUUGAAGAGACUACCUUCUCUCUUAAGGUUGGUGAGAUAAGUGACAUAGUGGAUACUGACAGUGGAGUUCACAUCAUCUUGAGGACUGGCUAAUCAUGCAGGGAGAUCAUGGCGUGUAUUGAACAAAUAUUCGAUGUACUUUGCGAACAUAUUCAAGCAUUUACAGGAUUGGUUUUGCUUUCAUUUAAUUCCACAAUGAUCACAUAGUGGUCCUACCUGUUUGGUCAUUCUUAUUGUGUUGAAUUGGUUCUUGACUCGUUAAGGCAUCAUCCCCUGACUCAGUUCAGGCUCGUGUGCUUGGGAUUGUAUUCCUUCUGAAUGACUUCUGGGUGUGCUUUGGGUGAAAUUUAACAGACUCUCUAAUAAUAGCUUCAUUGGAAUGAAUGGAUCCCACAAAUAAUUUUAUAUUUAACUAGCUGUUAGUUCAUGCCCUAAGUAGAGGUUAUCAACAAGAAAGACAUGGAUAAAUAGCAGUAAAAGAUUGCAGUGGUUACAAUAAGUUCUGGUGUUGUUUCUGUCGAAGGACCGCUUGGCCUUCCAAUGCUAAAUUAUCAUUUCAACGAGUCAUAUUCUAUUGGUUAGACUAUGCAUGUUAAUGAUCCUCCCUUGGCCCUCUAGUGCUAAGUUAUCGUGUUGAGCUUUUUCUUAUGUUUAUAAUGAUGUGAUUUUUUUUUUAAAUUUUUGCAACGAAACUAAAAAGUUGAUAGUGUGCUAAUAAAUAAUAAUAAUUUUUUAUUGAUUCAAAUGAAAUGUUGAGACAGAAAGCUGAAUAAAGAUGUAUAUUAAGGCAUUUGAUAUGGGAAGCUUUUUAAUUUUUUAAUUUAAUUAUAUAAUAAUAAAAUUGUUUUUUUUAUUAAAAAAUAAAUAAUUUAAACUCGUUGAAAAAAAUUAUAGUAUGAUUACACUACCACCACACCAUGCACUCUUUAAAAAAGCUACAAAUAGACAAAACUAGGAGGCAAAACUCCACGCUGGCAAUCCUAUAUCCUGUUUAUCUCCAUAUCCGUUAGAUCGAUUCUAACAAACGGUUAUUACAAAAGCACCCGCUUGACGCGGAUUGAACCAUGGAUAGAACAUAAUCCUACGGAUAUUACAUAAAGAAGGCAGCCAUGCUGGCAAUCUCAGGCAUCCUUUAAACCUCGUUAAAACAUCCGUCAGAUGAUAACCAACCAACGGUGGAUAUUAAACCACCAAAAACUCAUAUCCGCCAAAACAACUGCCUUUUUCUGAAGAGCUCUGCCUCGUAUAAAUACCAGGCCAGACCUCUCUAUGCAAAUCACCUUUCAAGCCCAUAAAAAAAGAGAAAAAACUCUCCCCUCUUUGAUUUUCCGAGAAAAUACUCAAGUUUUGCAGGAAAGUUUGCGAGGAUGUCGGGAAGAGGAAAGGGCGGAAAGGGGCUGGGAAAGGGAGGUGCAAAGAGGCACAGGAAGGUGUUGAGAGAUAACAUCCAAGGAAUCACAAAGCCAGCAAUUAGAAGGCUAGCAAGAAGAGGAGGCGUGAAGAGAAUUAGUGGGCUGAUCUACGAGGAAACUAGAGGGGUUUUGAAGAUCUUCCUUGAGAACGUGAUUCGUGAUGCUGUUACUUAUACAGAGCAUGCUAGGAGAAAGACUGUCACUGCCAUGGAUGUUGUCUAUGCUCUUAAGAGGCAAGGUCGUACUUUGUAUGGGUUUGGGGGUUAGGAUUUGUCGGGUCUUCUAUUUUGGUUGUAUUGAUUUCAUUUGCGUAGGAAUUUAGAUCUUCUAUGGGCUGGAAUUGAAAAAUAGGAUCUGUAAUUGAAACAAUUUCUCAAUCCUGAUUCAGCUGUUGCCAUUUUAGGCCAAAAUUAUUUGCUUCAUUUUAAUUCUUUUUGGACUUGAUGCUACAAAAAGCUCCGAUAAGUGGUUUCUUUUGAGAUUUGAGAAAUUGGGCUACAAGGGUUUAUGAGAAAGAAUCAACAAUUCUUUGGCCUGACAUAAAAGAGUCAUUGGUGUAGUGUAGUCAAGCUGCUCGAUCUUUGGUCUGUGAAUGGUUUUGAUUGAAGAAGGUGCGGUGUGUUUGGGCAUGGAGGUAUAGGCCCGCACGCCUUUCGUAUUUUUGUUUUGGUCUUUUUUGAGAAAAAAUAAUAGAAAUGGGGAAAAGGCAGAGAAGAGACCAGAUGCUGACAAAUUUCAUGUCGAUUGUAUUUUUAUUCAUCUGAUAUCUCAUUUUUUUUAGUUGUUUUGGAAAGGGAGAGUAGCCUGAUAGAUCAAAAUCUUUCAGUUUGGAGAAGAUUUAGGGGUGUGUUCAGUAACACAACAUUUUUCAUUUUCAGUUUUUUUUCUAAAAAGAAUCAGAAAACAAGUUUAUUUUUAAUUUUUUAAAUAUUUUUCCAACCUAAGAAACUGGAAAAGAUGUUCAUAUCACACUGUUUUUUAUUUGGAAAUAGAAAUCAUGGUGGUUUUUUUUUAUAUAUAAUUUUCCCCCAAUCUAAUUUGAUUUAUGGGUUUUUAUUGUUUGGUGAUUUUGCUAAUUAGGUUUUAAUUUGUUUAGUUUUGAUUUUGAGUUUGAGUUUGAUAGCUUGUGAUUUUUGUCUUAUCUAGGGAUUAAAAUAAAAGGACUUGCUUUGAGAAAGUGCUCACAAAUUUAAAAAAUAAAUUUAAGAAAAAAAUUGCUAGUUGUGGUUUAAAAAAUACAUGUCUGAUUAAAAUUGUUAUGAUAUGAAUUUUUACAUGUAAAAUAAAUAAAAAUUAUGUUUUUAUAAAAGAAAAGGAAAUUAUUUCAACUUUUUACAAAACAAAAGUUCGAAAUACAAUUACACACGGUAUAAAAAAUAUAAACUAUUUAAAUAAUUAAAUAAUUUUUUUUAUAUGGUUGAAUAAAAAAUAGAAACUACUACAAUAUCAAAUUGUAUCUUUAGUAUAUUAGAGCCCUAUUUGUUUCAUGAAAAAUAAUUUUCUAAACUUUCAUAUAUUUAUUUAUUAUUAUGAAAGUUGAUCAAUGAGAGAAAAAUUUGAUUUGAUUUUUAAAAAAAUAUUUUUUAGAAGUUCUAAAAAAUUAAACAAUAUCUUAUUAUUUAUUGAUUAUAUUAAAUUUAAUACUUAAUUUUUUAAUUGUUAUAUAUUUUAUUUUGAUUUUUUUUAAUUUUAUUUUUUAAAAUUUAAUUUAACUCCAUUAUUAUAUUAAUUUUGAUAUUCAUUUUUUAUAUAUAUAUUUUUUCUAUUUUUUUAAUUUAAUUUUUUAUCUGUUGAUAAAAUCCUAGCACAUAUUUAUCAAGACUUCGUUAUAUAAUGACACAUACUUACCACCAAAUACAACGAGAAACGUGGAUUGGACGAAUAUUUUACAUGCCAUCAACUUUGAGAACUGAAAGAAAAGAGGAUAGAAAAAAAAUUAAGUAGGUCUUAUAAAUAUAACCUUCAAACUCGGGUGUUUUUUUUUUAAUUAAAAAAAAUGUUCUUUUAAGAAUUUUUUAUUUUAACCCACAACCAAUGUUAUUUCAACAUUUAAAAAAAAAAAAAAAAAAACUUAAGUAAAAACGCUAAAUCUAGGCUUUGAGCCAUGUACAUGUCAUAGAUGCAGUGGUUGAUGUGAAAAUUAAUUGCAAAACCCAUCUGAUUUGAUAAAUAAAGGAAAAUCCAUUUGGCGAUGCCAGGCCAUUAGCUCAUUUUCUUUUCUUGACAAAACCAAUACCUCUUACACCCACCCUGUACAACAUCAACAGCAAAAUCGUGAUCAGAAUUGAUUUACAGGUUUAAGUUCUCGUGUUCAUAGCUCUGGUCCAAGUUAAUGCAAAGGGCCAGGUCAAGUCCUCCCGGCAGUGAUUUCCCCACUAAAUUUCAUUCUCUUUGCGACUUGGAGCUUCGAAUCACCACUACCAGUCUGAAACUGGAAUGACAUAUCAUGCUGGAAAUGGCAAUCAGAGCCAUUCCGGCAUCCCUUGGGAGUUCUAAAAUACAUACAAGGCUUCUGAAACUUGGGCUUCAAUUCUCUGUUUUUCGAGUUUUGUAUCGAUUCUGGGUUUUGAGUAUGAUUAUAAUAAUGACUUCCAUUAUGGAAUAGAUUUCGAUCCUUCAUUUCUUUCUUUGCCGUUCCAUGUUCCUUUAUGAGGUUCUUAAUGUAGUUCACAUCCUUCACAAGGUUAGUUUUCUUUCCUGCUUGAGGAACACUGAUGGGCUGUUUAGGCUUCUUAACCAGAGUGGAUUUCACCAAAUCAAACAUUGGGUUGGGAUGGAUGUCUUUGAAAUAAGAUAUUUGGGGUGUUUUUGAUUCUGUAGGCACAAGGCUUGGUGUAGUUUGCAUUGAAUUAGACGCGGAAAACAAGUGCCCAACUGGUGGCCUAGGUGCUGAGACUUUGCCAGGUUCUUGAAUGGGCACAGGAACUCCUAAUCCAGUUGCUGGAACAGCAUCCUGAUGCAUAGAGGUUCUAGUUACUGUCGUUUGUACCUGACUAAGUUGAUGGUGCAAGCUUCCAUCAUAAGGCAUUGAUGGAAAAUGCACUGCGGGUUUUGGACAGGGUAUGGGAAUCUGGCCCGUUGGCUUUGACCAGGGCAACUCCUCACUAGGUAGGUGCUGCAAGUUUCCAUUAGCAGGGGAUGGUGCUGAAACCAUGGCAGGUUUUGCAUACAAUGGGGACCUGGAACUGGAAACUGGCCUAGAUGUAACAGGAGGUGUUUGAUUGCCACUGAUAAGUUUGUCAACCAUUUUGGGGUCUCUAAAGAUUUUAACAAGUAAAUCAGUGUCAAUCAAGCCUCCCUGCUCCUUGCUUUUCAUGAUAGCAGUAACAGCAGCAGAAGCUGCUGUGAUUGGAUGAGUACCUGGAUCAGGUAAUCUUCCAAGUUCUGGUUUUUGACUUGCAGGUGGAUUUAGAGCAGGGGUGUUGCACUUUGAAGAGUUCAGGAUUCCAGAUGACAAUAAAACUGGAGGCAAUGCUGGUGACAGGGAAGUUGUCGGGUUUUUUAGUGGUUCUGUCAAAGCAGGUGGCAUUUCUGCAGCUUCUUCUUCUUCAACAGGAAUGAGAGGGAUAAUUGGAGUGAGGCUAUCAUCAUAAUUUUCCUCUUCCACGUCUAAAGAAACAGCAGGGCUACACAGAAAAGAAUGUGAGGCCUAGUCAGACGAAGAUGCUUUACAGAAUCUUGGUUUGCAAAAAUAAGAAAUUUUACCUGGGAGGAACAGAAGAAGGGCGUGGAUAAACUGCUUCAAGAACUCUCAUUUCCCUCAGUUUUUGAGCCUCUGACUCCUGGCUUUCUUCUCCAUCCGUGACAUGCCAGUUGUAAUUCACAACAAACUGUUUUCAGACGAGAAAAGCCAGCAGUUGGGGUUUUAAUAAUUCAAUCACUUGACACCACAUUCUACAUCCUAAAGGUCUAAUGACAUUAAGUUAUCACAUCACGAUGUCACCACAUGGUGCAUAAGAAACAGCAUAUUUAUGCAAGUAGAAGGGAAAAUAACUGAGAAAAUCUGCUUACAUUUGGUGGGCACUUCCAUUGAACCCUAGGAAUGCAGGAUAAUUCCUUUAUACAUGGAUUCAAAAAGUGAGUGCCUUCAAAUCCAGGGGGAAGGUCAUUCGAAUCCUUACUGCUUGAAAUCGGCAAAAGCCGCGAUGCAUUUUUCUGAAGAAGAUCUCGGACUUGUCCACCAACUUCUGAAGGACAAUCCUCGGAUAGAAACAGCCUCACCUAUUAAACAUCAGAAACAAGUCCAUAACAAGAAAUAAAUACCCAGUAACAUUUAGAAACCCUUACAUUAACAUAAAAGGGAAUCAUCUAGGGGCACUCAAAAAACUGAGAGCAAGAUAAACUGCUUAAAAAUUAGUUAGAAGACUGCAGACAGCUAUCAACUCAAUCAGCACAAGUAAAAACUAGGGCACCAGUAAAUUCUCAAACGACUAUGAUAUGACCUAGAAAAGAACACUGUCAUGGUGAAAAUCUAAUUGUCAACAAAAGCAUUAUGGCAGUGUGAACAAGCAACGUUCAUACAAAUCCGAACUAAAUGAACCACCUAAUAAAAUCGCAUUAGCAACAUUAAUUUGAUUCACAAGAUCCUGAAUACACACUACAAACCUGGACGCUUUUUCACCCCAAUCAACUCCUGCUAUUUUGACAAAUGAGCACACUCAAUUAUGAAAACAUAAAUGACUCGAUGCACUAGACAAUCAAUUCCCGAUUAUAUUGUUUGCAGUUCUUCUCUCAUACUAUAAUUGAAAAAUCAUAGAUCAGAAAUCAAAUCUCCAGCAACUAAUCCACUUAUCUAUUAAGAGCAUUUUAAAAAGGUUCCACGCCUCCAACUAUUUCCAAUGGUCCUAUGAAGCAUCUCAAUAGUGCUUGCUAAUGAUCUACAAGGAAAUUCAAUUCAGAUUCAAAUGGUGCAAAUGAGUGAGCAAUUUGUAGAUCAAAGAAAGGACUUUGGUUAAGGACUUCAGACAGAAUGCCCAACUACAUCAAUAAUAGAUAUCACUAUUAUACACAUCCAGAUAAUAAUCGCUUGCUGUAUCAGAUUUAAAUUUGGACUACUUGAGAAAUGAAAGAAGAAAAGGAUUAAUAAAAUAAUUACAGGUAUACCUGACAAAGAUAAAGACCUGGUGCCCACGAAACCCUGUUUGAUUUCCUCGAUCGCUUCAUAUCACUAAAUCUAAAAUCCUUCUCUCUUCAAAUCAAAUCAAAUUUUAUCAACUAUUUUUCGAUUUCAGUAAUAGUAACUGAAACAGUUUAAUCAGAUUUUUUUUUUCAGAUUUCAAAAACAAAUAGUCCAACACGUCUUUAUUUUUUUGAACAAAUUCUCUGAUGAUUUUCGCGAAAGAAGAAGAUAUAUAUAUACAAGACAGACGCGUCUGUAGAAGGAAGCAGGAGAGGAGGAGAGCAGAUGGAUAUAAGGAGGAAUCAACCCGCCAGAGAGGACGGUGCUUAUCGGUCCGGGCUUGGGGCUUGGCCUGGACUAGCUUACUUUUUUUUAACCUAAUUAGAUGGUAGAUCAAGGCAAGUCUAGGAUAGCGCAGCAGCCAAGUUAACAUAAAUCAACUCUAUUUUAUUUUAUUUAAAAAAAUUAAAAAUAAUAUUAUUUAAAAAAAUUAAUAGGUUUUAAUUGGUUUUUCUCGAACAGAACAAAUUUUAAGACCAUGUUACACUAGCCCCUUUUUUUUAUUAUUAUUAUUAAAACCCUAUUUAUAACUAUUUUCUUUUUGAAAGAUUAGACAUCGCAUAUAAAGUUGGCAAGUGGUGAUGAGUUGGUGGCUAAUAACUGGUCCACCUGUCUGCUCUUAUCUUUUCUUUUGUUUGAUUUUGACUUUCCGAAUUUAUUAAUAAUCGCCACGUAUCUUUAUUCUAGGCUUACCCCACACGUCGGAAUUUUAUUCUUGCCUUGUUAAUACUCAAUUAUGUGAAAGCUAAUUACUCUUGUUAAACUAAGUAUUAUGAUAAUAAUCGUACGUGAACCCAAACUUGAAGUUAUGCUCUUGAGUUUACAGUCAUUAAAGUAUAUUUUGGAGAGUUAAUUAUACUUUAAUCUUUGUUGUUUAUCAAAAUUAAUCAAUUGUUUCCACUGUAGCCUUGAUUUAGUAUUAUUCUUCUUAAAGAACAGUAUUUUCUUUCAUGAAUGAAUUUUUCAACCAAAAAAAAAUCUUUUCUAAUUUUAGAAAAUAAAAAAAUUCAAUAAGGUGAUAAAUAUAAUUAGAUUUAAAAUAUUAAAAUUAAAUAUAUGAUUUUUUAAAAUCAUGAGAACUAAUCAAUAAAUCUUUCAAAUUACAAAAAUAAUCUCAAAUUCAAUCCAAUUUUUUUUUUUUAUUAUUAACAUGGGUGUCCGGGCUAACUUGCGCGUAUCUCGACUAAUCUAAUGAGUCCUGAAGUUAACGACCAUGUAAGUCUCCAGUGACCCCGAGGUUUGUGGGACUCGAACCGAUGAUUUCUAGAAAACAAAUUUAGAACCCGACUAGUUGAGUUGCACCCCUUAAGACUAAUUCAAUCAAAUUCUUAUGAUUUGAAUUUUUUCCAAUUAUUUUUCUUAAUAUUUUCUCCUUGUAUAACUCAAAAUCAAAAUCAAUUCAACAUGGAAAAGGGUCAAGAGAAUCACAAUUACAUUUUGAUAAUAAUUUUUAUUUAUUUUCUUUCCAAUAAAGCUCCUUGACCAGCCGGGUACGUGAGCAUUGGGGGAGAAUUUUCCUUAAACAAGGUCGUAAUUGGAGGCCUCAUUGUGAUUUCCAACUUGGACGGUUCAUUUCCGAGAGCUUUCUUAGACUGAAAAUUUAACUUCAGGCCCUGCUGUGGCUGAGUUCUUGAUCGGAUUUGAUGCUAAUUUCUUCUAAGAUUGAGAUAGCAACACUGAAUUAUGUGUUUUCCUCGCAUAUAGAAAAGCUUAUGGAUAUUUGAAGACCAUGAUUUAUCAUUAAUUAUGUAUUGGGCCAGCUAAUGAGCCUGACACUGUAAACAGACUCAAUCAUCAUGAGCCUAACCCUAAUCAACAGAGCCUAUCACUAUAUUAGGUAAACUUUUUUCUUUUUUUUUUAAUGUGUCCAGUGCUUUGAAUAUUCAGAAUAUUACAUUAAACAUAUGGUACAGAUUGGAGAAAUCGAUAUGUGAAAGAAUCGAGGAUCAAAUGAUUUUAGUUACCACGUACAUCCAUGCUAAUUAAAUAAUAAAUAAAAAAGAAUUUGAAAGUUCUACAUCCAAAGUUAAAGAAUCAAGUCGAUAAUUUACGAUCUGUCUUCCUCCACCUUGACAACCCCUCCUCCACCUUGUACGGUCCUUAUUUUGAAACGCUCAAGCUUACGUGACAAUUUUUUUAUUGUCGAUCCUUCAACACUGCGCCGUGAGCUUGAAUCCACCUUCAAGUCUCUUGACACGUCUCUAUGAACAUCAAACUUCUCUAAAUUCACCUUGUUUUUGAUUCUCUGAGGAAGUUUUUCAUACAGUUCCAAGAUGGCUCCCCAGAGUUCCUCCCGUGUUUCUUUUUCUCCACCGGCCUCCAUUGUGGUUGCAGGUGCAUGUUGGUCUGCUGAUCUCUCUUCAGGACCACAAGUUUGUCGUCCCAUAUUGUCUGAAAUCACAGUACUGAAUGAGGUUUGAUCAGGCUGUGAUGAGUAGUGCUCCUGGUAGUAGCUGCUAAAGGGUCUUGCUGGCUGAGGAAAGUCAAUCGUCUUGUAUGGUGUGAUUGGAAGGUAUUGGGAUGGCCCUGCUAGCAUAUAUAUAUACUGCAUGGUAAGGGCUUCUGAUCAUUCCAAGUAGGACCUGGUCGGCAUUUCAUAAGUCAAACGUUUUUAACUCUGAAAUAGAGUGAAAUGAUCAAACAAGAAGAAAUGGUCAUCCUAUUUUUAAUUCUGAUUGGUAUAGCAAGUACCAUGAAUCUGCGUCGACACCUUCUAUGCAAAAACACACGACAAACAGAGACGAAUUUCAAAGGAAUUUUACUAAAUUGUGUUCUAGUUAGGUUUACUAAUAUAUAUAUAAUUCUUAAAAUUCGAAAUUUCUUCUACACCAAUACUACCCUAUUUUUAUAUUUUUUCAUGUGGAUCGGUUAUAAAGACUCAAAUUUGUUUUUCAUUUCCUAUCUUUCUUCUUCUUCUUCUUCUUUUGUAAGAGUUCUCUCUUGUUUUUAAUUAUCAUUUAUAUCCCUUUUAUCAUUUUUUUUCAUAUUGUUUUAAGAUUCCUUUCUAUGCUGAGGAAUUCUUCGUGUUUAUUUCUUACAAAUAUUUUUAUUUUUAUUUUUAAAAAAAGAAUAUUAUAUUUCUAUUUAUCAUUUUUUAUAUAAAAGAAUUGUAUUUCUAUUUUUUAUUUACUUGAUGUCAGCUAAUCAAUGCUAUUAAACUAACUCGACAGAUUAACUUGGUAACUCGACAAUAUGAAAUCUGGUCCAAAACUAUUCAAAUAAAAAUUAAUUUGACCAAAUCCAGUAAUUUAAUAGGUCAAUCCAUAAUUAGUCGAACUAAUUAAGAUUUGACUUUUAAUUUUUUGAAAACAAUACUUGAAACAAUGAAUUUUAGAGUGACUCAUAACUUAGACCGAGUCAACUGAACCUAUUUUAAUAACUCAUGGUAAGGUGAAUAUUUCGUACAAAAAUGAGGGAUUGAAGUGGUGAUUUUGCCUAAGUUUAUUCAUGACAUUUCUUCAGAAAAUCUUCUUGACUUUUCUCCUGCAGCCAAGUGGCACCGGCUUGCAAAGGAAAUUCGUUGGGUGACAGCAGAACCUUGAAGAGUCUAUGAACUUAAUUCAAGACCUCGUGCCUAUCACGUAACAUAUGAUCGAUCAGUACUUUUUUUUUUUUAAGUUUAAUACGGGUGUCUGGAACACCUUGUGCGUAUCUUAAUUAAUUUCACAAGUUUUAAAGUUAACGACCAUGUAAACCUCCAAUAAAUAAAAAAUAAAAAAAAUUUUAAUCCCAGAAUUUUUAUUAUUGGAUCAGUACUCUUUCUUAUUUAUUCAUAUCGAUGGACCUAAAUGAUAGCAUUUUAUCCCAUGUGAUUGCUGCCACGUACAGUCGAAACCAUUUAUUAACAAAAAUAAGUUGUUUGUGCUGAUAUGAAAAGUAAGAUGUCUCUGAUUGAUUUUUUAAAUCCGGCUUCAAUGAUUACGACACAGGUUUUGAAGAUGCUGAUAUUACAGUUGUGGUGGUUUUUUUUUUUAAAUAAAAUAUUUUUAAAUUAUAUUUUUAAAAGUUAAAAAUAUAUUUUUUAUUUAAAAAAAAUAUAAGUUACUUGUCAUCCAAACAUACACUUAACUGGAACAAUUUUAAUUUUAUUUAUUUUAAUAUAUCACAACAACAUUGUUUUUGUUACAUAAACAAUCAAUGAGCUGCAAAUGAGUUUUUAAAUUUUUUUAAAUCUAGAUCCAAAAUACAUGUGGCAAGAUUUUAAUACUAUGAUAAAGUAAAAAGCCAUUAAAAAUAAUGUGAAAAAAAUAAAAGUGCACUUUAACCAUGUGGGUUAAGUAUUAUUUGAUUUGAUUUUAUGUUAAAUUAUUAAACUCAAUUUAAUUCUUGACUCGGUUUAAGAUUUUGUAUAUAAAUUAAUUGAGUUAUUCAAAUAAUAUCACUUUAUUUUUAAAAAAAUAAUUGAAACAAUAUUAUUAUUUUAAAAAAUAAUUUUUAAAUAUUUUAUCCCAAGUUAACCUUUAAAACCUGACCCAAAUAUCUCUUUGAACCAAGACUAAUAAAUAUAAUAUUAUAUUUUUAAAAAAUAUAGCUUAAUUAGUUUUAAAAUUUAUAAUACGUUUAAAAUCACUAAAAAUUUAUAUUAUCAUCAAUUUUAAGUUUUAUGGAAUUAGAUGAGAUAAACAAAGGACACGGUAAAAAGAAAAGUGAUUUUAUGAAUUAUGCUGAAACAUCACCUUGAACGUCGUGGUGGAGCCCUUGUGAUCAUUCCCCUGUCAGUGAAAUAAUUGGAAUAAGAAAAAAGAAAGCAAAAAACUUUACAAUGCAUCAAUUAUAAUAAUGUAUCUUCUUUAAGCUACCAGAGGAUUUAUGUUAUACAUAGAGGGUUUAUGUUUUGUAAGUGCCAUAAAUAGUGUAGAAGGUUUGAGCCACUGUAAGGAGCAGGAUAAUCAAGGCAGCCAUUGCUGAUAUAAAAGACCAAGGAGUGCUAAAAUAAGUAAACUUGAAGCUUGCCCAUUGCAAAUGCCAUCUAUCCUUGUAGUAUUGGUGAACAUCACUGAACAUCUCGGACAAAUAACACCUUUCGAUAUCAAAUGCUACUUCCUUGCCCAAAUCAUUGACGAAUCUUGCAACUUCUGAAUCAGUGCCAAAGUAAUUCUCAAUAAUAUUGCAGUCACACAGAUACUCUACGUCUUUAAUGGUGUUGAUCAGGCAGUCUAGAAGAGUUGCAUAGGUCGUGAAAUGAUUGGAAGAACCACUGUGACACUGCUCGAAUGCUACACAGUUAAGCAAAAAAGAACUUAUGGUAUCAUCAAUGGUUAUGGUAGGCAUUUCUAUCACCCCGUUCUUGAAUUUCACCACCAAGAAACUAUCCGCAGGAUCCCCUUGACCGAGCUUAAUUCCAGCACGGCGAAGUUUGGAUACAGAUUGGAUCAUGGGAGUCGAUGUGUCCACGCAGCGUGGCUGGGCUUGCUCAGAAUCUAUGAAACUUGAACGAACUAAAUCAAGUAGAUGUUUGGCUUUGCCAUUAUUAUGCCUAGCAAUAAUAUAAUCUGGUCUUUGCAGUGCAUUAUUGAAGAAAUCCAAAGCAAGCUUGCUCAAAGAAGGGCCAGAUUCUUCUCCAGGCGUUCUUGUUAUCUCAAAUAAACACUCAAGAACAAAGAAAGGAAUUUGGUUCUCAAGUCUAAGUAAGUCCCUGUAAAAAAAUGGUAUGAUCCACGCCAUGGUAACAAUGGGAUCAUCGGCCUCAAAUCCAACUAUUUCUCCAACUUUACGAAACAAUUCUAUAAUAAAAACGCCAUCAAGAACCAUCAUUUCAACAAAUUCACAAGUGUCAAGAUGGAUAAUUUGCGAGUAACACUCUCUUGCCUUCAUUUCUAGCGGCUGUAUCGCCCUCAACAAGACUUCUAAGUCCAAACCGUUGUUCUGUGUCCUGGAGAGCAUAGACCCUAAAUACCCCCACUUGUGCUCUUCAAUCAUCCUAAGAUGCGCCUCACCAUGAUGAUAAGGCCCUAUUGAGACUAUAUGAGGUUGGUAGGACUUACCGUUGAUAUCAAUGAAUCUUUGGGGGACUUUAAAGAUGCAACAUGAACUGUUAGCGGCUGCUUUUGUCAGUAACCGUGGUGGAUCGGAGAUUUUUUGGCGCAUCAAGUUCAGGCGAUACUUGUUCACCCCCCAGAUUUUUGUGGCAUGAUUGGCUUCUUCAUCUUCUACCGAGUUGCUUCCCAGUUGAUCACUAGUCCCGAUCAUGAUUUCCUUGGGUCAAUAGUCUAGAAAGUUACAAGACAUGUGCAACUGAUUUCCUUUCUUGACCUUGAGAAGAUGGUGGCAAGGCAAUCACCGGCGAUUGUGUUGGGACAGGCUAGCAACAGCCAGAUAUUGACAAAUAUCAAUACGGAUUGGGAAAACCUCAAAAACGUACCUCAGCUAUUGGGUUAGUAUCAAUUUUGCCCCUAUAUAAUUUAUAUUUAGAAAAUAUUGUGCUUGACAACUUUAUAUUUUGUAUUUAAUUUAUGAAUCUCUGUAUAAUUAUUUAUUAGGAUUCUAAACUUCAAUUUUAAACUUUUGUGUGAUAACCUCUUUAAUAAAAUUCCAUGUUAUUUAUUUUUUUGCCUUUUUAUAUAGUUUUUAUAUGUGUCAUUUCAUAACCGAUAAAAUAACUCCUUGGAAUUAAAUGUGUUGAAAAUAAAUAGUUUUAAAUGUAUAAUCUUGCCCCCUUUUUAUUAUUAUUAUUUUUGUUAUUAAAAUAUUUUCAUACUAAUUUACACAUUAAGUAUACCUAAAUAAAUAUACUUAUUAUUUUAAAAAUUAUAACAAUUAACAUAAUACAUCACAAUUACUCACGGAAGCAUUAAUUAUUUAGCAAAUAUAUUAGGUUGUCAAUGAAAUAUUAUAUUGGAAAAAUACUCAGUCUUCAUAUAAUUAUAUAUUUUAUUUUAAAAAAAUAACAUUUCUUCACAUCGUGCAAACCAGAACACAACACCGCAUCUCACCAAUAAUCCCACCGCUUCCAUCAUCAAGCCCAAAAUCGUCAAUUCAGCUCAAAAUAUCGACACCUCACCAUCCACUUCAUUGUUACUCAUUUUCCACCUUCCUUAUAUUGACCAUCCUACCCUUCUCCAGCAUCCUCUACCUCCCGCUAUAUUAAACCCCUCCAUCAGCAGGCCAAAUCUACAGGCUCGCAUUAUAUCAAAAACCCAUCAACUCCAUCUGACCGUCCAUCAAUGGCAUCCGAAUCAAACCAACCCGGAUCCGACUCCACUAUUCCUGUCAACGGCGAAAUCACACCCAAAAUCGCCCUGAUCACCGGUAUAACCGGCCAAGAUGGUUCUUAUCUUACCGAAUUCCUCCUGAACAAAGGCUAUGAAGUUCAUGGCUUGAUCCGUCGGUCAUCCAAUUUCAAUACGCAGCGGAUUAACCAUAUUUAUAUAGAUCCACACAAUGCUCAUAAGGCCCGAAUGAAACUCCACUAUGCAGAUCUAAGCGACGCGUCGUCUCUCCGUCGUUGGCUCGACACCAUCAACCCCGACGAAGUCUAUAACCUGGCGGCCCAAUCACACGUGGCUGUCUCUUUCGAAAUCCCUGAUUACACGGCGGAUGUCGUCGCCACCGGAGCCCUCCGCCUUCUUGAGGCGGUGAGAUCUCAUAUUGCCGCGACAGGGCGGAGCCAUAUCAAGUAUUACCAAGCGGGAUCUUCGGAGAUGUUUGGAUCUACGCCGCCUCCGCAAUCAGAGACCACCCCGUUUCAUCCAAGAUCCCCAUACGCGGCGUCAAAAUGCGCGGCGCAUUGGUAUACUGUCAAUUACAGGGAAGCUUAUGGGUUGUAUGCUUGCAAUGGGAUUCUUUUCAACCAUGAAUCUCCACGUAGGGGAGAGAAUUUUGUGACCCGAAAGAUUACGAGAGCUGUUGGGAGAAUUAAGGUGGGGUUGCAGAAUAAGCUGUUUUUAGGGAAUUUGCAGGCGUCGAGGGAUUGGGGUUUCGCAGGGGAUUACGUGGAAGCAAUGUGGAUGAUGUUGCAGCAGGAAAAGCCUGAUGAUUACGUGGUUGCGACGGAGGAGUCGCAUACGGUGGAGGAGUUUUUGGAUGUGGCAUUUGGAUAUGUUGGAUUGAAUUGGAAGGAUCAUGUUGUGAUUGAUAAGAGGUAUUUUAGGCCUGCUGAAGUGGAUAAUUUGAAAGGGGAUUCGAGUAAGACGAGGAAAGUGCUUGGUUGGAAGCCUAAAGUUGGGUUUGAGCAAUUGGUGAAGAUGAUGGUUGAUGAAGAUAUUGAUUUAGCCAAGAGGGAGAAGGUUCUUGUUGAUGCUGGCUAUAUGGAUGCCCAGCAGCAACCUUGAACUGAUACAUCCGGUGCUCUCCUCUGGUUCAGAAAUUAAGUUAUGGAGUGAAUGUCCCCGCUUUGAAUUGUUAGUCAUAAUUUUUUUUUCAUGCAUUUCAAGUUUAUAGGAGGAUUUUUAAUUUAUGCGUUCCUUAUUUUUCCUUCUUCAUAAUUCGUCAAUUGAAUGUGAGAUCAAAUCAUAUCAGAAUUGAAAUUGGAUCUUGAAUUUUGUGCAAUUAACUACAAAAAGCAGAAGUCGUAUUAUUGCUUGCAAUUACACACUUACUGCCUGAAUGGUAGUGCGACCAACCGAGUGACUGGACAUGCUACCAAACAAUGAACAUAAACUAGAGAUGCAAAGUGUUUGGUUGAAUAGAAAUAAACAAUUUGUUAAUAAGCAUGAAAAGAUAUAUAUCCUUUGUCUUUACUGUCUUCAUUUCUUCUGCUUGAGAGAUAACCAAGGUUUCAAGACUUCCAUUCUGGUGCUUUCUGAACUGAUUAGCACUUGAUGCAUGUUGGGUCUAGCCAUGAGGACGUGUUUGUGGUUCAAGUUCAACAUGAACACUCAAUGCUGAUAUCAUUGCUCUUGUAAAGUAAAAUCUUGCCUUUUUCAGGAAAAUUAUGUGUUAUGACGAGCAGGCUGUUUGAUAAUCUGUCAAUUUUACCUCUAUAAAAUGGAAAUGAAAGAGAAUUGGUGGUGGGGUUGGGGAAUUGUUUUUAAACCCAACUCGGGUUCAUCAAGGGUAAAUCUCGGGUUUCGAAUCGAAUUAGAUGGGUUAACUGAUCCAGCUUUUUUAUUGACAUAAUUUUGAAAAUAUUAAUUUAAAAAUCAACAAGUUUUUCUGUAUCACAAGUUAAUCGGGUUAGGGUUAGGGUUAGGUAGCUGGAACUAGACACCAAGAUAUAGGUUUUAAAAUAGUGGAUUGGGGUGGCUAGUGUGCUGGGGUGGCUAGUGUGCUGUCCUUUCCUUACUUAUGCUCGUGAUUGUGGCUUGCAUUUUGAGAUUCUGUAACUGUUUGUGUCGGCAGGCAGCAGCUUGCAGUCUUGCACGUUGCAAACGUUUGGAAGUGUGUUUCUAAAAAUUUUAAAUUUAUUUUUUAUUUAAAAUAAAAAAAAUUAUAUUUUUAGAUUAUUUUGAUAUUUUAAUAUCAAAAAUUAUUUUAAUAUAUUUUUAAAUAAAAAACAAUUUAAAUUACUACCGUUAUUACAAUACAAAUUCAAAUAAUCUUUGAAUAAUUGAAAAGGAUGGAACAUUUCCAUGCUGUCGUUUAACCAUUCGGAUCAACUUGGAACACGCUGGCUCCUCUGCCCAUUGCAUCAGCAUUAAAUUAAGAGCUGUCUUGUUGCCUGUCCUCUAUUUUAAAAAAAAUAAGACACUAGUUCCAUAAUUUUAUGUUUUUUUUAAUGUUUUUCAUAAUUUUAAUAUACUAAUAUAAAAAAAUCUAAAAAUAUAUUUUCAAAUAAAAAAAUUCAUUUUAAAACACACCCAUCACCACAAUUAAAAACAUGUACAUCGGACCUGGUUUAAAAGGAAAACAUCACAGGCAUCAGAUCUGAACUCAUGUCGGUGCGGUACAAUCAAUCUUUACGUUUUACAACAAUAAUAAAACAAACUGUCUACUUCAGCAGGUCAAUACUUUCAGUAACUCGACGAGGAAUCUAUCUUGAUAGGAUGGCAUAAAAAAGAAUCACAACUUGUUGCCUGUCCUUUUCUACUACGUUGCCUGUUAGCAAUGGGGGCAAAUUUCGAUCUCAAGGGAGAUUAUAGGUUAAACAAUGACUAAAUACAAGGGAAAGAUAAAAAGGUGAAAAGAGAACGUAAAACAGUUAGUCUGACUUGGCUUCAUUUGAAGGUGGAUUGGAUUUUAGGACAGAUGAUGAGCUCGAUCUGAUCUCUGAGUCAACUGCGGCAGUUGCAAAUGGCUUAACAGAUGAACGAAGAGAUUCUGGCCCCUCUGUAGCAAUUCUCUUGCACAACGCAUCACAAUUACUCAUAACCUCAGUCAACCUCCCUUUCAGCUCCCCAAUCUCCACCUGCAGAGAAUGAACUGCAUGUGUUGUCCCAAGUAAAUAAAGUUGAUCAAAGAUGCAGUUAAAAUAAGAAACUGAGAUCAGUACUAGUGGCUUCAUCAAACUGUAGUGAGCCGAAAGGCAAACACUACUGAGAGACAAUCAAUUCUCUGAUAAUUUAUGUAUCUGGUUCCAUAAUCUGUCAGUAAUCCAUUUCCAUUCGGUAUGUUGUGAAGUACCUUCUGAUAGAUGCUGUGAAGAAGUCUUCAUUGCUGACACAGAGUAGUUAAGCCUUUGAAGAAGUUUAAUUGCCAAAGCAUCUGCCACUUCUAUCUUAUUUUCUAUCUCCUCCUGCAAUAGUUUUCACCAAAUCAAAGUUCGUAAAAGAGAUAGAAGUUUUCCAGGUGAAAGCAUACCCCUAAAAGGAUUUGAAACAUCAACGUACUAUGGCUGUUGUUGCACUCUAGUUCAGACAAUCUGGUUAAGAAUCAGUGGUUCCACAUAUUCAUGAGCAAAAAAAGAUUAACAGUUCAAAUGGUUCAUCAGUUAUGUCUUUUUUGACAUAGAACCAUGUUGUUUAAAGUCUUUGAACCUGAUCUAUUAAAGAAUCGGGUCAUCCAGAAUUGAGUGUAUAUGAAGUAAAACCAAAUCAUCUGGUUUCUUUUAACAGCAGAUUGGACAUUUCAUGUUUCUAUCAUAUAUAGUUGGCUACUUUCCACUGAUGCCUCACCAAAACCUAAACAUAAGCAUUGAAGAGCCGCAACCACAACGUAAAAAAUUCAUUUACACGUGGUCCUAGCCUAUAAACAAGUUUUUUACAGAUCCUAUAUGAAAUUUAUCAUCAUCCAUGGACCAUGUCCAUGAGGGAAGUGUACAUCCUAGUAAUAAAAUUCAACCUGGAUCUUAACUUAUGUCAAAAACUGCAUCAGAGAAAAAACUGAAAAUCAACAUAGAAUCCACUGAGAACCUGCGACCACAAGAUCAUAUGAUCCAUCCCACGCCUUUACAAUUUAACUUCAUUUUAUAAACUGGUCUUCUACUCAUAGUAGUUCUUGAUGACAGACAAACCUGUUUCAUGCUUAUCUGCUGAACCUUCCCGUCUUGCCAAUCACGAUAUAUUGAGAUGAGCUCCAAUAACACAUUUGGAUUUACAGUUGCUGCAUUGACCAUUAUAAACAACACCCAUGCAAAUACCAAAUGAAAAGAUUAGCGCUUCUCAAAUAAAUUUAAAAGGGAUGGGAAAGACACAACAAAUAACAUCCAUUAUAAACAACACCCAUGCAAAUACCAAAUGAAAAGAUUAGCCUUUCUCAAACAAAUUUAAAAGGGAUGGGAAAGACACAACAAAUAACAUUGCAAAAUUACAUCUCUGAACAAUAUACAUCACAUUAAAAACCACAUCAAACAGCUACCAUUCAGCCUCGCAUCGCGUUAAUUUCAUUCUAAACAAAACGUUUAGGAGAGAAAAAAAGCACCAAACCUGCGAUUCUUUUCUUUUCUCUAUCUGGACCAUGGAUAAUGAAACGAACCCUCGAAUGUUUGAAGUUAAGAACAUUCACACACAUUCGAAAGCUAGUUACUUUUCUGUUUCAUCAGUAGAUAUCUUUGUUCAAAUCAUUCUUCACUCACUGAGUAAAGAGAGCGGAUUAAUUUACGUUUAUAUAACAUUCUAACUUCUAUUCAAAGCUUCAAUGCAGAAAGUCUACUGCAAGAAGGAAAUAGAGAGAUAAAGCAAGUCCGAGACUCACCAAGAGCUGAAGAAGACGAUGCCUUCCUCACCAAAAUGUCAUUCAAGCUACCCUCUUCCUUCGGAGUUGAAGUUAAUAUUGGCCUUGUCUGAAGUAAAAAUAAUAAUAAUAAUAAUUUUUUUGAACAAAAAGAUAGUGUAUGUCUCCAAAUUGGGAUUAUUUAAACAAAUAAUAAAAAGCUUACAAUUUUGAGGGAUUUGAGCUUCUCCAAAAUGGGAUCCAAAGCUUCUGAUCUCUCAGUGACAGUAGUGAUUUCGUCUGUCAUUUUCUUUACACCAUACAACAAGCAAAUUAUUCAACAGUGACAAAUUUAUUGUAAACGAUUACUGAAAUUAGAAGAAUUACCUGUGAACUUGAAAGACUAGAUUCUGAGGCACCCAUGUUACUUUACUUCUUCAAUUCUUUUCUUCAGAAGAACGUUUGCGCGUGUAUUUCAAUCGCCACCGAGCACUAAUGGUUCGACACCGCCGGGGAAUCGCAGAAGGGGCCGGUACUCGUCAGUCUGGGACUACUGGUUGUCGUUGUGGGUUAAAAUGACGGAUUUUAGUUUAGUAGCAUUUCGAUCUCUCAGGUACGAUAAGUUUUUCAUAUUAAGGUUGUUUAGAUAUUAAAAUAUCAUAAAGGGUUAAUUUAGAGUUUAUUUGUUACUGUAGUAGUAAUUGUUUUUUUAAUUAUUUUUUAUUUUAAAAUAUAUUAAAAUAAUAUAUUUUUUAUUUUUUAAAAAUUAUUUGUGAUAUUAAUAUAUUAAAAUAAUUAAAAAAUAUUAAAAAAUAUAUUAAUUAGAAGUGAAGAAAAAAAUAAAAAAAAUAAAAUUUUUUUAUAAAACGCUUCUAAAUAUAAUGCCAAAGACAUCUUUAAUGAUUAAGGUAUGUGUUUUUAUCAAUUAUUAUAAUUUUAAUCUCAAGUGAAAUUAUGAAAAAUAAAAUUAGUAUAAAAUUUUUAAGUCCUACCUGGAUUUAAUAAAUAAAUGGAUUUACAGUGCACGAAAAUUAAUUUAUAUAUACCCCCAACACCUAAAUAAAAAUAAUAUCAAGCAUCAAUAUUACUUUCAUACUUGGAAUCAUUACCUAGCUUGACUAACGGUUUUGUUUUUUUAAUUUAGCCUCAGUUUUUUCCACUUCCUCCUUAUUUGUUUUUUAAUUUCAUUCUUAUAUUUAUUUUAAUAAUUAUACAUGUUAUCUUUAGACAAAUUAAGUUAAGUGAAUUAUAUUAAUAUUAAGACAAUUUUUAUAUUAUUUAAUUUUAAACUUAGCUAAGUAAGGAGUCGGAGCAGAGGGAUUUUUUUUAUCAAUUUCAUUUUUAUUUUCUUAAUUUUACUUGGAAAUGUUUUUUACUAGUCGGUUAGAUUAUUUUUAAAUCGGUCAAGUCGACUGAGUCAUGUUACGACAACUUUCAUAAGAUUUAAUUUUAAACUUGUCCUAAACAAUAAGUUGAGUCAAGAUUUUUUUAUAUCAAUUUCAUUAUUUUUUUCUCAAUUUUAUCCUUACAUGUUUUUUACCGAUCAUUCAGUAUGUUUUUAAACUAAUCAAGUCGAUUAAGUCACGUUGAUGUAACUCCAACACUGUUUAAUUUAAAACCUAAUCUAAACAAGGAGUCGGAUUAUAAAAUUUUAAAGUUGACUCGUUAGACCAAGUUUAAUAAAAAUACCAUAUAUCUUUUUACAACUUGAAUAUUUUUUUGUUGUAUUUAAAAAGAUUUUAAUCUAAUCCAUAGCAAAUCACGAGCUAAGCUAGUAUAUAUACAUAUGGGAAUGGGUAUGUAACUAUGUAAGUAUACGCAUGUGCAUGGAAAUUUUUUUCAUUUCACUCUAUAACAUUAAAUUUUGAAUGACAAACACAAUUAUUAACUAGACGAUAAUUAGCUUUCUAACCCGCACUAUGUUGUAGUUCAAUUUUUUUUCUAAUCGUAAAAAAUAUAAAGAUGCUAGGAAAGCUAAAAUCCGACACAUAUUAGACAAUAUACUUUUAAAAUAUCGAGAUAAUGGCAUAUUAGAUAACAUAUUUUUUUUAUAAAUAAAACGAUGAUAUACUGGACCGAUUUACAACUCGAUUUACGAGGCUAUGAUAAUUUCAUAGAAUAUAAAUUGAACCAAAUUAGGAAACUGAAUCUUAAUCAAUCAAAUAUUGAAGGACAAAAACUAAAAAAAUAUUCAAUUUGAAGAAAAAAAAAGAUCCAAAAAAACAACUCGAGUAAACUUAAGGAAAACGGUCAAAUUCACAACCUAAGUCAUGAAAACAAAAUCUCUCUAUUGAGAACAAAUAAAAAAAAUACAAAGACCAAUUACUAACCAGCCCAUUAUUCAAAUACAAAAAUUAAAAAAAAUCAAUUUUUAAAAACACAACAAAAAAAAUUCAAGCUAACCUAAGUUAAUUCGCUAAAUCCACAACUUGGAUCAUUAAAUUAUGAUAACUUCAUUCAAAACAACUAGGAUUUUUUAAAAAAACAGUUAAGAAAAAAUUUCUUUUAUCCCGCCAUAAUAUUUUAAAAAAUUAUUAAUGUAUAUUUAAAAAAAAAUUAUUUGGCUUUGAUUUCAUUAAAAUGAAGUUAAAAAAAAAAUGAAGGAAAACCCUUAAAAAAGUAACCAAGAGUGCAGGCCUAGUGAACCAUUUCUUGGGCCUAAUGCAAGGACAUACACAUUUGGGCUUGAAGGGCAUACACUCCCGAGCUUGCAAGGAUACAUCCACACACCUCCUAUUUAAAUCUUCUCAUCCGCCCAACUAAUAUUUUUUAUAUAUACAAACGACAUAAAUGACUCAUUGUCUAUGAGUGUGUUUGGUAUUGCGGUAACUAUUGUGGUUGUGGUUUGAAAAAAGUUGUUUUAUAAAAAGUACUUUUAGUUGUGGUUCGUUAGAAAAAAUAGGUGUUUGGUUAAAACUGUGGUUGAAAUUGAGGUUGAAGAAAAAGUAGUUUAAUGUGUUUGGUUAAGAAUGUUUUUGAAAUUGAGGUUAUAAAAUAAUUUAAAAAAUAUAUAUAUUAAUAUUGAUGGUUUUUAAUUUAAAUAUUGUGGAUUUAACUAUUGCGGUAACAUCAUGAAAUAAAUCAUACUUUAUAUAAAAUUUUUUUAUUAUUCUAUUAAACUAUCUACAAUUCCAUUACGUACAAAAUUCAUCCGACAAGAACUACAGUUUUCAUAAUUUUUUAGCGUGUAAUAAAAUUAGAUAAAAUAUUAUCAUGUAUAAAAUUCACUCCAAACUAGUUUUUUUAAAAAAAAAAUGUUAAAAAAAUUAACAAAAACAAAACUUAACACACUAAAUAAUAAUAAUAAAAAAAGAAGUGUCCACGCAGUGCAAGUGAACAGUGCAAGAGAAUUGCAUUGUUCACUAUUUUUAAGUGAACAGUGCAAUCUCUUGCACUGUUCACAUGAACAGUGCAUCACUUGCACUGUUCAUGUUAAUUUCACUGUUCAUUGAACAAUGCAAUUAACGUGAACAGUGAAAAAAAGUAAGAAAUGAUUGCUUUUCCUUUCCUGCGUUGCUAACGCAGAAAUUCAAUGGGGGCUAGUGAACAGUAAAUCAAUUUUUUCCUUAACCAAACAGCUGCGAACUGCGUUUUAAAUAAAACGCAGCCGCAGCCGCAGAGCCAAACGGGUUCUAUAUCUCCAGGGUCGCUGGAAAAUCAAGGUUAGAGCUUUUCGACCUUGAAAUUUUAUUUUCAUUAUUUUUUUGACCUCAAAACACAUACAAAACAACUUAGAUACGCAUAUAAACCCCUCAGUACCUUGAAACAAAGCAAAAUAUUUGUUCGAAAACAAAAGUUUAAGUCAAAACCCAAAAUAUCCAAGGGAUUUGAUCAACGCUAAAAGAUUCCAACAUAUGCUCUUAAUUUGAGGGUAAUUUUUUUUAAAAGAAUUUUAUCAAAAUUUCAGCAGAGUUUCAUUUGUAUUUAAGACAUCCCAAGUUAUUGACUACUAUCAAUUUACUCACUUAACUCAUCAUCAUAAGGUCCUAUGAUUCCGGACCUUAUUUCACUCAUCAAUAUUCAACACCUCAUACAAUCCAUGCAACACACACACACGCAUGCACAUUUGGUAUCAGAGCCGAGAACGGCUCGUCUUAAAGGUGGGGGGGAUUGUGAUGUCUUACAUUGGAUGCGAGCGUCUAGAGUCAUGGCUUUAUGAGUAGUGCUGGUCGUUGACCUGUUGUAUGUAUUUUGAGGCGUCAGACUCAAAAGUGGACUCACAUUACUAGGAACAAAACCGUGAGAACGAAAAGCCUAAAGUGGAUAAUAUAUGACAGGUUGGGUCGAACUAUUAUAUCAUAUUUAUUUUUUCCAAGAAAUUUCAAGGUGAAAUAACACCUAAAUUAAAUUUCUUUCGUCGAAUAGAACAUGUGAACACCAAUAUCAACUUCUUUAUGGUCAUAGUCGAUAACAAUAUGAAUUUUCUCUUUUUAUUAUCGGAACCAGCCAACCUUUCUCUCUUUUUUAUUUAUUAGGGAUUAAAAAAUAAAAAUAAAAAUGAAGCUUUCACCAAAGUUAAAUCUCAAUAAUUUCAGGGACUUAAAAAGACAUCACUGAAAAAGUAUAAGAAUUAAAAUGAAUUUUUUUACCCACACUAUAAAACUUCCAUCCAUUUCAACUGUAAUUUUCACUUUAAUUAUCUGUCUUAUAAUAUUGAUGUAUAAUGCACAAAUGUUAGCAUUUAGCAUAUUGCAAGGAUUAAAACAGCACAGACCCACCACAAAUCCAGACCAUUAUUCUUCAUUUUUAUCUUUGUCAUGACUAAAAUAGUGUUUGAUAUUAUAGUAAUGGUUAUUUUUUAAAAUAUUUUUAUUUAAAAAUAUAUUAAAAUAAUAUAUAUUUUAAUAUUAACAUAUUAAAAUGAUUUAAAAUAAAAAAUUAAUUAAAAUAAUAUUUUUUUUAAAAAAACCUUUCUGAGCAAUAAAAACAAAGACACAAAACUUAAAAGUCAACCCGCUGUAGAAAAAAAAAAUUACUAUAACCUAACUUAAUUUUAAAUAUACCGCUGCCAAAUUGAACGUCAUGGCCGGGCCGGGUUUUGUAAGUGAUCUAUCUACCUGUCUAAUAUAAUUCCUCAAGCCCCUAGUUUUUAUUCUUAAGAAAAUUGUAAAAUCAAUCAAAUGAAGAAAAUUAACCAAUCUUAAUAUUCAUAAAUUCCAAGCCGAUAUUCUCUCCCUCUCACAGGGGGUGUCAACAUGAAAACUACAAAACCAGCCGCAAUUAAAAAGACGCCGGUGGGAAGGAAACCUGCCGCUGUCAAAGCCGCUCCUGAUUCUGCCACCGAGGAAUCACCGGUUCCAAAAACCCCACCCAACGCCAAGCGGACACAAAAUAGCGACAUGACACCGUCGCCAAUUGCCGGUUCUGCUUCAAAACUUGAACAAUCAUCAGGUAACAAUAACUAUUCCAUUCUUUCAUGCAAAUAAAUAAUUAAUUGUAGUGUUAUUUUUAUGCAACUAGCUUAAUAUUCUUAAUUAGGUAUUUUUGAAGUUUCUUGUCAUGUGAUGUGAUUUUUAGGUUUUAUUGAGGUUUGCUAUUUUCUUUAAUAUUAGUUGAUGGAACAAAUAUAGAAACGGAUGUGAGUAUGGUAACACUGGAAACUACAAAACCUCUUCCGAUUAAAAAGAAGGUUGUGAGGAGAGUGGUGAAGGUAGUGAAGAAAACCCCUGCUAAUGCAAAAGCUCUUUUGGAGCAAACCCCGACAACUGUGGUUGCUGCGAAGUCUAAGGUUGAAGAAAGGGAAAAGGAGGCGGAACUUGCUGCUGAUAAUGUUGGAGAAUCUAUAAAGAAGAAAGGAGUUGCAAUGGGAGUGGAAGAAUCUAAGGUUGAAAGUGUUGCUGUUUCUGUAAAGGAGGAGGAAAGUGUGGAAGAACCUGUGGUCGAUUCUAGGAAGGAGGUUGAAGCGGUUAAUGAUAGGGUUGGGGAGUCUGUUAAAAGGGAACGAACUGUGGUGGAUAUUCCUGCUGAUGAGGUUGUGGAAGUAUCUAAGAAUGAAGAACCUAACAGAGUGGGAAAGGGGGUUAAUGAGGGUGAGAAGAAAGACGUGGACGAUGAAGUGGAGGCCAGAAAUGAGGCUGUCAUGAUGGAAGGAAGUAUGGAGGAACACGUUCGAAGAGAAGAGACUCAACAUGAGCAAGAUGAGUAUGGUGGUGAUGACGGGUAUGAGGAGUAUGGAGAUAGAGUGGACUUUGAAGAUCCUGUUGAGGAUGACUUUGAAGAUCCAGAUGAGCCUGUUGAAGAAGCUGCUGCAAUGGAAGAGGAACGCAGGGAACUAACAGCUGUUGCAAAGGAGCGUAAGAUUAAGAAAGAAUAUGAGAUAUUUGUUGGUGGAUUGGAUAGGGAUGCUACAGAGGAGGAUUUGAGAAAGGUUUUUGAGAAGAUUGGUGAAGUAGUUGAAGUUCGAUUGCACAAAAAUCUUUCAACAAAUAGGAAUAAGGGAUAUGCAUUUGUGAAAUUUGCAAACAAGGGGCAUGUUAAACGCGCUUUGUCUGAAAUGAAAAACCCUGUGGUAUGUAUCACCCCAUAGUUUUGGCUUAUAUUUUAUGAGUAUCAUAUUAACUCCUCAACUGUUCACAGAUUCGUGGAAAGCGAUGUGGGACAGCACCAAGCGAGGACAAUGAUACAUUGUUCUUGGGCAAUAUAUGCAACACAUGGACAAAGGAAGCUGUGAGCAUCUAAUAAUUAAUUGUAAUUCCCGCUUGUUUUUAGAUUUUUUCAAUGAUUUAUAAUAUAAUGUGGGUUGGCAGAUAAGACAAAAGUUGAAGGAUUAUGGCGUUGAAGGUGUUGAGAACAUCACUGUUGUACCCGAUGCUCAACAUGAAGGGAGAAGUCGUGGUUUUGCAUUUCUUGAGUUUGCUUGUCAUACUGAUGCAAUGCUUGCUUACAAGCGGCUUCAGAAGCCUGAUGUUGUAUUUGGUCAUCCAGAGAGAACUGCCAAAGUGGCAUUUUCUGAACCUAUACGUGAGCCUGACCCUGAAAUUAUGGCUCAGGUGAAGACUAUAUUUCUUGAUGGCCUUCCUCCUCACUGGGAUGAAGAUCAUGUUAGGGAGUGCGUGAAAGGUUAUGGGGAGAUUGUACGAAUUGUCCUGGCACGGAAUAUGUCAACCGCCAAGAGAAAGGAUUUUGGAUUCGUCGACUUCUCUACGCAUGAAGCUGCGGUUGCUUGUAUUGAAGGAAUAAAUAAUAGAGAAUUUGGCAAUGGUAACACAAAGGUAAUAAAUGUUCCUUUCAUACUUCAUCUGCUUCUAUGUAUGUUACUUUGCAGCUGUUUCUUUUCCUUUUUUUUUGUGUUUGUAGCAAAAUUACUUUAUCUAGAAAGCUAUUUCUAGGUUUCAUUAAAUUAUUUUGGCAUUUUCCUACUUGAAACAAAAAUAAGGAUUGAGGUGUGGAGGAAAUGUGUUUAAAGUAACCUACAUCUUCUUCUUUUCAAUUUGCUACUUUCAUCAGUUUUAGUUUUAUUUUCAUAUCCUUUCCUGGUAGACUUUGAUCAUUCCAGAUUAAUGCCUGUGAAAUGCAUGCAUUUAGUUGCAUGGUGUACAAUAAAGUUUUACCCUUUUUGUAUCUAAUAUGGUAAGAGAUGAUGUAUGAACUGACAUCAUGAUGUUGUCAUGUGCUGGCAGAUGAGAGUUAAAGCGAGGCUGUCAAAUCCAUUGCCAAAAACUCAGGCUGUGAAGGGUGGAAUGUGUGGUGGCUUUCGAAUUGGUCAUUCUGGAAGUGGAAAUUAUUUAAGAUUUGGUAACCUUUGAUCCUGAGGAUUUGAAUAUUUCUUAAAAUGCAUUUGUCUCCAUUUGAUUUAGGCAACUAUGUUACAGGAAGGGGUUUUGGGCGGGGCGGGCAUCAUUCAAACUGGGCGAAUUUUCAACGUGGUAGGGGUUUCUAUCAACGAGAACAUGGUCAAACUAGUAGAAUGGGUCCCCGUGAGUAUGACUAUAAUGAUCGAUAUGACAUGCUUCCUGGGAGGCAAGGUAUUCAGUGGCCUCUUUCUUUUUGAGUGAGCGCACAUACACACAAGCACACCUUCCUUUCCAAUAGAUGCAGAUCUUUCACGCAGCCACAAUUAAAAAUCUAACUCACAUUAAUGUAUUGAGUAGGAGGAAGAAGGGGUUCUUUCAGAGGAGGUUAUCAAACAGCUAGUAGAGGUAUGGCUGCUGGGCCAUCAAGAUCUAAUAUCAAUCGAGCUUGGCACGAGACCCCUGAGCGAGGACAUAGGGGCUAUGUUUCUUCAAGGAGGCAACCAUUUUCUCCUGAAGAAUCCUUUGACAGACGUUUCAAUGGAAGGCACUUUGAUGACCCCUAUUUUUAUGAUGAUGGUUCACAUGGGAUGAAACGAUCAUUUUAUAUGACUGUAAGGAUUUCUUUUUGUGGCCUAAAAGUUGGAAUUUGGUUGUUUGUUCUUUUAAUUUUUAAGCUUCUGUUGUUGUUUGUGCAUCCUUUAUAUUCUUUAGAGUUUGAAGUUUUCCCAUGCUUUUAGGACCAAGAUCCUGAUUACAUGGAACCCAGUAGGCUUCGACCCCGGUUAGAUUUCGCUGAUCCCCGAGUAGAUUAUGCUGAUCCGGCAGCUUCAUUUCGUGGGACACAUUAUCGUGGUAUGGAUUAUGCUGUCCCCAGAUAUUUUCAUUUUGUGACAUGGUUAUUUUAUUUGCUUUAUUGUUUUUGAUAUUAUCAUCCUCAUGGCUUUAUGUUUCAGAUACCUAUGGAGCAGGCAGUGAUCCCUACUUUCAUGAAUAUCGUGGUUCUGAUGUGAGCAAUUAAUCCGUAGCUUAUCCUGAGUCAAAUUUUAAUUACUAACAGUUUCAUUGUAUUCCUUUUCUGUUUGUGUUGCAGUACGAUCCAUAUCCACCUUAUUAUGGGAGGGACCACUCAUAUGGAGGUGGUUACCACUAUUAGGCACAAGCAAAUCUGGUAAUUCCAAUUGCCUUGUGAUUUUAAAUACUAUAUUGGAUGUGAUUCUUGAAGUUAAAGGUUUUAACUUCAAUUGUGUCUAGGUGGGCUUGGAAAAGCAGGAUGCUAAUCAUUGGUGAUAGGCAAAUGGCUUGCUGUUCUGAAACUAGUUGAAGCUGCCUUUCAUUUAUCUUUUUGAUGUCUUGUAUUUUUCCUCGUGAUUCCCUUACUCCAAUAUUCUCUCCCUAUGAAAUUUUGGGUGCAGUGUCCAGAGAGUUUGUGUCUAGUUUAGGGUAUGUCUUCAAAGGACAUAGAUUAAGCAAGUGAAUUCUCUCUAUAUUUUGGAGAUUGGAAUAGGCAUUUUCCCCUUUGAUCUAGGUAUGAACUACUUGAGGACUUACAUCAUGGAUUGCAUUAUGGAUUAUUCUAAAGUAAAGUUUUUGGUUAUGUGUUUAUGUUCCUGAAUCAUGGAUUGAAUAUUGAUGUUGAUGGAAGCCAAAACAUAACAGAUUGGUGACAAUGGUUUAAGGAAGUGCAAAGAUUCAAGUCAAAGUUUUUCUUAUAGUCAUGGAGGUGAAGUUAAUACUGAGCAUACUGGUUCUGGCUUUGUGGAGAUUCCUUGAAAAUUUUGCAAGAGAAACGGAAGGUUUAGACCUUCUAUGCCCGAAGAAUGGGAAUUAUAAAUCCGAAACGCACCAUCUUGUGCGAGUUUAUUUUGAAUUGGAUGGAUUUUCACUCUAUUAAAAUUAAUGGUUACUUUAGUAUGCAUAUGACUGGACCACCUGGAUAUGUUUUGGCUGGUCAUUCAAAAUUUAUGCACCUAUUGCUAAAGCACAACUGUUGGGAAUUGCAUUUUAUUUGAUGGUGCAUUGCCCCCAGAUGAAAUUGAGAUUUUGAACACCUUUCAUUUAUUUCUCAUGAGGAGAACUAGCAAUUGGCUUGGUCCAUAACAUAUUUUGAUUCUUCAGUAGCAUUAGUUUUUAUGUACUUUGAGAGUGAUCUUUAUGGCAUCAUUACAUAACAGAAUCAUUUGGCUUGGGCUGAGAUUGAAACUGACAGAUUUUGUGGUGAGAGUGAGAUGGAUCUGUCUUUCUAGGUGAAUUGAUUCUUAGGUAAAAAUUGUCUCUUAUUCUGAUUUUUACUUUGUACUAGCAUUGGAUUGAUGGAGAAAUGACAUUGGUGUGCCUGCAAGGAAAAUAUAUGUAUGCCCUUUAAACUUCAGUAGUUGAAUUGCUUUUCAAAGCUUUCAAGCAUUUUUCGAUGGUGGUAAUGGCCUACAGUUCACUGUAUCAUAAGGAUACAUGGCAUAGAAUCCUAAAAAUUGUGGUUAUAAAGGUAAAAGGUUCUCAUAUAGUACUCAAUCACAUUUUAGCCUAUGCUACAGUUGAUUUAUAUCCCUGAUAAUCCGAAUAGUUGUCGUUUGUUUAUGCUCCUCCAUGUACUUGGAAGGUGGUAGAUGUCAAUUGCAACAUGGUGUCCUCGUAUCUCCUGUUGGGGCAUUGUGAUAGUGAUGAGGUUGAUUGCACAUGUUGAGAGUAUACUACCUUUUAGCUACUUUUUCAUCAAAUUGCAGGACAUAAUAUUUUGAAUCAUACAGAUCGCCUAGAUUUCAGUGGGGUUGUGGGGUUGAUUUAGGUUUGUUAUCAAUUGAUUUGCUGCAGAGAACCAUGUUAUAAUUUGUGUUUACCUUGGAAUUUCCUUUACUUGAAACAAAAAUAUUAAGUAUUUCCUCAAUGAUAUUUUCCUUUUUUGCCUCAAAUUGUUCUUCUCGGGGGAUCUGUAAAUCAUUCUUUUGUAUGAUAAAUAAAUACUUGAUGGUCGCAUGGUGGUUAGGAUUUUGGAUUUCUAUGCAAGAAGAUAAGGUGCUCCAUGCUAUAAAAUGAAUCCAUUUUUAGAAACUCUACCUGCAGUAGACACAGUGGUUCUACCAAACAAUGGCAGUAGCUUUUUAUUUUAGUUGUGUAGGUAUGUUAAUGACUGGUUAAAUUUUGCAUAUUUAUUUCUUCUUCUCGGUGCAUGGUGUUUUCUUGUUGGUCAACAAUACUUCUAGUCGAUACUAGUCGAUACAUUGCAAGCAAUCAUAAUGAGGGGGACUUGUAGCUCAUAAAGAUGAAUGCAGUUAGGGCCUAAUUAAUCUGUUGAACCAUGAGUGACAAAAUCAGGUUUCUAUACAUGAGAUUUAAGGUGUUUGUCAAAUGUAGUGAUAAGCAUCCACCAUAUUAGUGGUAGGAAUCUCUUAUCUAGUAUGUGUAUUUUUGAAUAAUUCGUUAGAUCUGUAGUGUACCUUGGAGAUUGUUUUGUCAUUGUGAUACGGCUUUUAAAUCUGCAUUGUACCUUGGAGAUUGUUUUGACCUCAUGACAGUUUAUAAUCUUUAAUUGAUUCUGGCAUGCUGUUCUAGGAGCAGUAAAUGUUUUCUUGUUAAUAAUAAUCUACAAACGCUUUGUUUAGGGACCAGGGAGCAUUUUAGAAUACUGCUUAGGUGCUUUCCAAAGUGGUUUUUGGGUACUAGGGUGUCGGAGUUUUGUUGCUGAAUUUAUGUAUCCUCACGGUUGUGUGCCUUUUUGUUUGUCCCAGCUCCUCCUUUCUCUUCCCUCGUAUUUCCUGAGUUCUCUCCUUCCAUUUCUAGAUAAUCAAUUUUUUUUUCUCAUUUAUGUAUAUUUGAGUUGAGGAUCUUGGUUUUAUCACUGCAGUGAACAUUAAUUUGAGCGAAACUACUGAUACAUCCUUAAUAUGUUUUUCUAUUAUCUGUUUCUCAUAAUGUAUCUUCAAACUGGAUGCUUUGUAUCGCUUCCAGUCACUGUUGCAUCAUUGUGCUCCGAAAAGGUGAGAGACUGGGUUCCCCCCCAGCUUCAAGAGCUGGCGUGUGCCCCAGGUAAAUGGAGUUUUUGCAACGUUUCAAGUGUUGGCCAUGUGCCCCAGGUCAGAGGAUGUGUUUCCCUCAUCUUAGCUGGGAAAUUUGUGGGUUCUUUUUGGUUCCUGGGUUAUUGUAAUACACAGGGUUUUGUCAUUCUGGUUUACAUGUGAACGACCGAACAAGACUCUUGAUCUGUUUGAAUCACCAUGGAUUGAUGCUGUUUCGAUCAACUAUCUAAACAGUACCAUCUUAGUUUGGGUUAUGAAAUUUUGUGAUUUGAUGUGUGAUCUGUUAUUAAUUGGUAUAAUCCUAACUUGUUUUGGUCAUAUGAUGCAGAGCCUGUGUUCUUUCGAGCUAUGGCCAGCGUUGUGGUCAAAAGUUUAGAGAUACUAAUUGUUUGUCUGCUCCUAUCAAUGACUUGAAAAUCACCACAUUACCACCCCGGCCUUUUUCUAUCCGUUGUAACACUGAAUUUAAUUCAAGAUAGCAUAACAGUUAUUGAUUUGGAUCUCUAAUCCUCUCGCCUCUAUUAGCCGAAAUCCCCCAUUUAUAGGCGAGUCUCACUUGCAUGCCAGACCUCAAAGCAUGGAGAAGGAUGGGGUUUCAGAAUUGAAGCUCACCCCCUUGUCCUAGAAAGAUGAGGUUUCUGAUUAAUCUGUAAAAAUUCUUAUAUUAUUAAAUGAUGGGUGGUGUUAAUUUGACCUUUAUAUUGAACAAAAUAGUUUUCCUUUUAAUUUUCAUCUUAGUUAAGGAAUUCGAGGCUGGUCUUUAUCCCUGUCGAAAAAAGGAAAUUUAAAUAUGGUCACCCACCAUCUCUACAAGAAUAUGUGCUUGUUGCUUGAAAUGGCCAGCAUGGGAAGGCGACGGCGCAGUGAGCGGAGUAAUAUUGUUUUGUUUUUAUGGAAGUUUUGUAAUCAGUUAUCUUUAAUUUCUGUAAUUAAAUCAGUGAUCUUUUCUUUUUCUGAUAAUUAAUUGGUCUUUUCCUUCUUUCUUUUUCUUUUUACUACGGUGAUACAAGUUGAAUUUAUUUUUUGGUGAGAAGGACGGUGAUGGAGGUUGGUUCUUGAAUUCAAAUGUUUCCUUAGGGUUUGCUAGAAUAUUAAUGUUAGAUACAAUAUUAUUUUAAUAUUUAUUUUUUUAAGAUAAUGUUGUAUUUAAUUUUUUUUAAUUAAAUUAUAUAUUUUUUUGCUGUUUAGAUUUUAUUUUUGAAUUUACUGAGUUGAUUAGGCCUAUCAAAUCAAUUUCUAUACCGUUUUAAUUUAUUUUUUUAUUAUGAAAAUCAUUUUAGUAAUAGCUUGAUAUUUUUUAAAAAAGUGAUCAGGCCCGCAGUAUAAUAUUAAUAACCAUCUACAUGGUCUAUUAAGCCUACAUGGUCUACUUAAUAGGAUCUCAUGUCUUAAUUAUGAACCAAAAGAAAGAAAGAAAUAUUGCUGUUUCUUCAAAAGCUUAAAAUCAAUCACCAAAAUGCCAACCAUUUUACUCGAUCCAAACAGCACUGUGAUCAGCACUUUCCAGGCUUCAAUCUCAUAAAAUUUUCACAGAAAGAAACCUAAGGAGGCAGGAGAAUUUUGAUCCCAAAUCUAACCGAAAAACACACCAUUUUUUAAUCAUCCCUGUAAAGAAAACCAAAAACCAAGUGCCCUCAUUGUUCCUAUCCACAACAAUCCAAAUCCUCCUACCAUUUUACUCCCUAAUAAAAAGGAAUAUAAACAGCCAUUAGAUCCCUCUCCACGUGUACGUUCUAGAUCUCUACUUAUCCACGUCACCAAUCUCCUAGACUCCAAAUGGACUAAUCAAAACCCAGUCUCUUUUCUUGUCCCCUUCCUAUAAAUGUCUUUCAAAGAUGACAGAGGAAAAUCAUAUCAGCAACUACUAUAUUUACCUCUCUUCAAUCCUUUUGUUGUGUGUUUUCUACUCUGCCUGAUCACCAUGACAGCCACCGAAGAAGCUGAAACUGAGGCUCCAGUCGUGGAGCAACCAACUGCUACGGAGGAGCCUAAGGUGGAGGAGAAUCCCGUUAAAGGAAAGAGGCCAAGGACUCCCAGGGAAAAGAAGCCUAGACAACCUAAACCAAAACCUGCCGCUCAUCCUCCUUAUUUUCAGGUAUUUCAAUGAUUCUUCAUGUUCCUGGUUUUUAUUACAAGCAUGCGCUAACCAAAAACCUGCUGCUCAUCCUCCUUAUUUUUAGGUAUUUCUAUGUUUCUUCGUGUUCCUGGUUUUUGUUUCUUACACUCAUGCGCUGUUACUUGUAUUUGUAUUGAUGUUUAAUUUAAGCUGGGAUUAUUAUUGCAGAUGAUUAAGGAGGCUAUAUUGGCUUUGAAUGAUGAGAGUGGGUCGAGUCCAUAUGCCAUAGCAAAGUACAUGGAAGAGAAGCACAAAGCAGUACUCCCAGCAAAUUUUAAGAAAAUUUUAGGUCUUCAACUGAAAAACUCUGCAACAGGAGGAAAGUUAAUCAAGAUCAGGGCAUCUUACAAGCUUCCAGAGGCGAAAAAGACUAAAGAGGUUAAACCUACUACAAGAAAGACUAGGUCUGUGAAUAAAGCCGAGGCUUCUGCAAAGAAAGUUGCUGGGGCUAAGAAGGCCAAGAAAUCAGCAGCUGCUAAACCUAAACAGCCAAAGUCUAUCAAGUCUCCUGCUGCCAAAAGGGCCAAGAAAUAGAGACUUGGUCCUGGCAGUAGUUAUUAAGGCCAAGAAAUCAGCAGCUGCUAAACCUAAACAGCCAAAGUCUAUCAAGUCUCCUGCUGCCAAAAGGGCCAAGAAAUAGAGACUUAGUCCUGGCAGUAGUUAGUUUCUGAUGUAUGAUGCUGGGUCGAUGUGAAUAUGUGAUGUACUAUGCCGUCUAGUUUAUGUCGGUGGAGUGUUUUCUGCCACUUUUUGGACAUGAGUGUUCUUCUCUUUUGUAUAUAAUCUUGUAAGUUCAGAGGUUAAUGGAACUCAGCCGUGUUCUUUCAUCUUUUCCGAAUCAUUUGUGACUGUGGUUCUGAUUUUUCCCUAGCAAUCUCGAUUUCCUUUUGUUUUGCAAAAUCUAAUUGAUGCACAGUUGGGCAGCCGAGAAUUAGAGACGGUUCGGGAUGUUGACGAGUGACUUGGAUUUUGCGCUGGCGAGGUGUGCGGGACGCCAUGGGAGGAGGCUCCUCCAUGUUAGUGGCCUUUUCAUCUCGGUGCUUGAUUGUGCCUCGAAUUCUUUAUAUAAACAAAAUAUUAAAUACGAGUGGACGCCAGAUAGAUCUUUGAUGCAGGAGAUUUUUGACUCGGUAGUUCAUGGCAAGGAGCAUAAAUUUGUGACUCAUAGUUUGUAUUUCUUGUUUUAAAAAUAUGUUUAUGUAUUUAUUUUUUAUGUCCGCAAACUCUAAACUAAGCAGACUAACCUUGAUAGUCGGCUAAAUUUGUUAGCUCUCUUUUGGGCACCCUUGUCUAGGUUCUAUAAAAACGGAAAUUGCAACUAGUGACCCUAUAAAAAGGAAAUUGCAACUAGUGACCCAUGUAGCGAAGCCUGCGUUCACAGUGACGUUGGAUUUUAUUUUUAUAUUUAUAUUCUAUUUAUUAUCAAUAAUAAACAAAAAUUAGAUACUUAUAAAUUAUUUAUUAGGAUGUAGGUAUCCGAUGAAUAUGUAUUAUUCACUAUUAUUUAUCAAUGAAAAAUAAAAUAAUAUAUAUAUAUAUAUUAAAUAAUAAAUAUUAUCAUAUAUUAUUUAUAUCAAUUUUAAAGAAUAUAUAUAUUUUGUAUUAAAAAAAUUAAAUAUUCUAUAAAUAUAUUUAUAUAAUAUAAAUAUAUAUUUUGAGUUAGAUUCCUGCUAGUUUCGGUUGCUAUCCCUAUGAUUCCAAAUUUGGAGUAUAUUCUCCAACAGAUUCCAAAUUUGUUUAACGUUCAAGGACGCUUAUAAUUUGUUUGAUGGAUAUAUCUAAAUCAUCCAUUCCAAAUCUACCCUCGUCUAUCUAUAAGCUAAAGCAAUGCCGUAGCCAAGGUUUACAAAAAGAAAAUGUCACGUAAUUUAUUAAACCUAUCAAAAUCCACCUAUGAUUUGGUUUAGCUAGUCAGUAGACUUACUUAUUCUAUUUUAAUUUUUUGUAAAAGGAUUCAAAGACAAGUUACGAGAGGAUAAUCUUUUUGUGCAUACAUAAAUUUUUAAUCAUCUAUUUAAAAUUUAAUAAAAGAAUUUAAAAAGCCAAAUUUUGAAUUUUUUUUUAAAAAAUAAAAUUAACAUAUUUUAAUCAAGUUUUUACUGGAUCGACUAGAUUACAUGUUAAUUUAAAUUUUUAACCGGGCUCUCAUUAUUUAUUGUGAAAUCCAAUCUGAAUUUGAUUCGAAACGACUUAUCAAGUUGAGUUUAAUAACCAUGGUUAAAAUCGGGAGAUAUUUUCAAGAGUAUCAUCCAAGGUUUGUAAGGAUAGAUAAUAACAUUCUUUUCUUUUUAUUUUUGAUAUUAUAGUAUAUAGUGUUUUUCACUUGAAAAUAUAUUAUUAUUAUUUUUAAUUUUUCAACAUCAACAAAUUAAAAUUAUAAAAAAAUACUAAAAAAAUCAAUUUAAUAUUAUUUUUCAAGAUAACAUUCUUUUAAAAUCCUUCCAAAUAUAGGUGAAAACAAUACAAACAAGUAAACUUUUAAAACAGAGAAAUGCUGGUGGCAUGCAAAGAAAAAAGAAAAGGAGUCGAGACUUGUAAUAAAUCGUAAAGGUCAUAAGAGUAAUUCUCUUUGCCAAUGAUUUGUUCCUACGCCGUCGUUUAGAGACUUAUUACUUCUCCCUAUAAAAACUAAACCUCCCCAAAUCUCCCUCACGCUCAAAAAUUCGAAAUAAUAAAACUGAAAACCCCUCUCUGCUCCUCUUCCUCCUCCUCCAUCCCGACAGGUAACCGCAAACCCUAACCCUAAUUCCUUGAAUUUUCUCUUCAAUCCCAGUUUAUAAUAAUCCGAUUUAAGCCUAAAUACUCUUCUUCGCUUCCAAUUUCAGGUCUAAAUGGCUCGUACUAAGCAAACCGCUCGCAAAUCCACCGGUGGCAAAGCUCCUCGCAAACAACUCGCCACCAAGGCACGCCCUUCUCCUUCUCUCAUAUAGACAGAUAAAGGGAAAGUAUACAAUGUGAAUUUAUAGGAUAUUUUAUUAAUAUAUGUUUGAUUUCAUGAUAUCUGAAACCUUGCUUGAAUAUACAAAGUCAAUCGAGGUUUACAAUAUUCAUUGUUGGGUGGUUACUUGUAUUUCCGAUUUAUAAAAGUAGUGCAAUGAGAAUGAAUUUUUCUCAAUUAGUAGUGUGAAUUUUUAUGAUUUAUGGUUUUUGUUACCUCUCCAAAAGCUAUGGUGGUAGACAUUGAUUGGACCCAAUCGGUGACCUGCCUCCUGACAUAUCAAUUGCUUAGAGAGGCUAGUUGUUUUUGUAAUGUUGCUAUGAAUUUUAACUCUUUAUCUUUUAUUUUGAAUUUGAAGGCUGCAAGAAAGUCUGCUCCCACCACUGGCGGUGUGAAGAAGCCUCAUCGUUACCGUCCUGGAACUGUAGCUCUCCGGUAAGGGUUUCAUUCCUUCUCUAAACAUUAUUUCCUAGUUACGAUUUUAUUGUGUUUGUUCAUAUGAUGAUUUAUGCUUGUAAAUCCAUUUCUUUUCAACAGUGAGAUCCGCAAGUACCAGAAAAGUACUGAACUCUUGAUCAGGAAGUUACCUUUCCAACGUCUUGUCCGUGAAAUUGCACAAGAUUUCAAGGUAAUGAUUCCCUAUGAUGACUGCAGUUUCUCCCUAUUCAUGUUUAAUUCUAUAAAGAUCAUUCUGAUUUUUCUUUCUUUGUUUUAGACGGAUUUGAGGUUUCAAAGCCAUGCUGUUCUCGCGCUUCAGGAGGCUGCAGAGGCCUAUCUUGUUGGUUUGUUUGAGGAUACUAAUCUUUGUGCUAUCCAUGCCAAGAGGGUCACCAUCAUGCCUAAGGAUAUCCAACUUGCCAGGAGAAUUCGUGGAGAAAGGGCCUAAAGGUUGAUGUUUUUUCGUUUUGGUUCUGUUUGUUUGCUUAGGUGGUCAUUAAUGUGUUUCUACUAUCAGGUCUACUGUGCUAUUCUAAUAUGAACUGAUGUAUUCUAGUAAUUUAAAAUUUGCAUUCCGUGUGAUUUCACUUUAUGUUUAAUAUGAAGCUAUGGUAUUAUGUUUUCAACCCUAGUCUUGACCCUUGUUUUAAUUCUGAAUCUGAGUUCCUGUUUGUGUUGCCUGAAGCCUUGGUCUCCUACUCUUUCUUGUUUCUUUUUCUUCCCUUGCGGACAUUUUUUUUUGGCUGGGAACUUGAUGGAUUUUAUGCUCGUUUGAUACCAAAAAGAGGUCCUGCAGAAAUCCUAAUGCUAUUUUCCUACAAACUCUCCCAUACCAAUAAUAAAUUUCUUUUCUAGUGUCUUUGUUUGGCCAGGGAUGCUAGUAUGUCAAUGACAGUAUGCCUGUGUUCCUGAGAUCUAUCCGAGGUCUGGUUAGGAUGGCUUUUGCAGGCAAGAUCAUGUACUUGAAAUCAGUAUGCCUGUGUUCCUGAGAUCUAUCCGAGGUCUGGUUAGGAUGGCUUUUGCAGGCAAGAUCAUGUACUUGAAAUCUGUACUUGCAAGCUUUAACAGUUUAGAAGUUCAACCUAUUCCAUCUUGACUUGUAAUGCUGAACAAUUCGAUUGGAAGGGGAGGCUGUGCCAAUUGAGAAUGAAGUUGAUAGGGUUUCAGCAGUAUAUGGAUUAGGUUGCAUGAUCUUCAAAUUGCUCCGUGUCUUGUUUUAUUAACACAUUGACAUUGUUUUUGUUAUAGCUUACAGCUUACCCUUGAAUAAAACCCACACCCAGAUAUCGUAAUUUCUAAAGGCGCAGAAGAAGGGCCGCAAGAGAAUACGGGCUCUGCAAGUGGCGCUACCCAUAUGUGACGUCAACGUGUAAAAGAGCUUUGGUCAACUAAAAUGGCAUGUUUGCCUACGAUGGACCUGCAUUUUUAAAGAAAUGGCUGGCUCGGUUUCUUUUUGAGCUUCCAAAACAAGCUCAGAUAAGCUUUGCAAGUUCAUAGCUAUCAAAAUCAAGGAGGGGUUGAUAUCUCUUUAUCAUGGCCCCCUCAAAAUUUUAAAAUAUAAUGAAAAUCUCAAAUUGCCCAGCUUUAUUUAUGCUCGACACGCAGGAUUGUGCUUCAAGCCGAAAAGAAAGCACGAGCUAAGUUAAGCUAAUCAUAUUCUUUGUUAGCAUAAUUCAAGUGGAAUGUUGUCAUUUCUCGUGUCGUAUUAGGUUCAAGUGCGAGUCUUCUCGUAAAAGAAAAGGAAAAAAAAACUAUAAGAAAACAAAAUAGUAAAAUUAUAUUUUUUUAAUUGAUUUUUGUUUUUCUGUGCAUCCAACUUUACAAGAAAUUUUAUGAUAUUAAGAAACUGAUUAUCAAUACUUAUUGAAUAAGAGAGAAAAACACAUGAUAAAGAAAUAAAAAUAAUAUUUUUAUGUCUAGAUAAAAAUAUUCUUAUUAUUUUUUUAUCAACUCAUCUCUCUCUCUAUAUAUUUCUCCCUCUCUCUCUCUCUCUCUCUCUUCAAAGUGAACUUAUUGAGUAAACAUUGGUAUUAUCUCUCUUUGAAGCGUAUGAGUAUCAAUUUUAUUUUCUCAAAAGUUUAUGUUGAAUUUAGAAGGGGAGUGAGACAAGGAAUCUAGAAGAGCCUAGGAGAGAUAGAAGGGCCAAGUUCACAGAAAGGCCAAGCCUAUAAGGCCCGACUCAUAAGGAUAAGUCUACAUGAAGGUGAAAGGGCCAAGCCUAGAAUGCCUAACUCAUCGAAAAGGGAAAGCCCUACAAGAUGGGAAUUUCCAAGGGCUUAUAACAUUGGUAUUUGUUUUCAAAGUGGGAUUCUAACUUCCUUCCUCACACAAAGCGUGGAUGGAGGAAUGAGGCAGCGGAGAUGAAGAAAAAAGAGGCUUAUGCUUUUAUAUUAUAUUGAAUUUAAGAGACAAGAAGCCCAAAAAAGCUUGACACAAAAUAGUUAGGAAGGACUAUAAACAAGAGUGAGUAAAGGAUAGAAAAGCCAAGUCUACAAAAAAGCAGAUUGAUAUAACACCCAAUUUUAGAUUUGGGUGGGAUUAUUAGAUCAUGCGUAGUUAAUGCGUGCUUGAUUUGGUCUUUAGUCCACCCAUCUUUUUUCUAUUUUUUUUUUUAAAAGUAGGAUGUGGAUCAUAAAUUCAUGAUGACAAUGAAGGUUCUGAUCAUGUCGUUCCAAUCAAACUUUACAAGAAUUAGAAACUGCCUCACUCUAAAUUAAAUGCUGGUCAAUUGAUUUGAGCCAUGUCAACAUAGCAUCUUGGACCUAGCUAGCCCCCCUUUCACAUUCUCUUUGAACAUUGUUUUCUAUGAUCCUAAUUAUCUUCUCUCUGCUUACAGCUUCAAUAAAACUUCUCAAUUCUCAUGCUUUAUUUUGAGCCAUGACUAUAAACAAUGUUGUGUUAAAUCUAGCCCGUAUCGAGUUAAAAAUAUAAAUAGAAGUUUUCUCGGUUAAAUCUAAGCAAUUCAGUUAAAAUCCAAGCUUAAUAACAAUAUUAUUUUAUUUAACCUAAUUCACGACCUUAAUCUUGGCUAAGUCAUGAACCAAACAAUCCAAUCAAAAACCCGAGUUUAAUAAUAAUAUUGUUUAUUUAAACUAAUUCAUGAUUUUAAUCUUGGCUAGAUCAUGAACCAAGCAUAUAUACGAAUUAAGCCGAAGCCGAGUUUAAUAACUUUUCAUGAAUGUAAAUGUAUAUAGGAGUAAUGCUUUCAUCCACCGCGUGCAAGAUUUUAAUUGCAGUAAUUCUUUUAAGUGGAGCACGGCACGGGGGAGGGAGGGUUGUUUCGUUCUUUGCUCACCUUUUCAGGAUUUCUAUCUUAUCUUUGCAUGAAAAAAACAGAUAAAAAGAUUGGGUUAUGGUGGUUUUGUUGGGUGCCAUCAUUGGAAUCAUUGUUCUACAAAAAGGGAGCUUGUUCUGGUCAACCAUUAUACUAAUUGCUCAUCUUCUAAAAAGCUUCAAGAACACUUAUCGUGGAGGCUCUUGGUUGGCCCAGAAGCUUCUAUCUUACACUCCCCGACCAAAACCCAGACAGCAUGUGUUUCUCCUUCUUCAUAUUUCUUCUCGAUCAAGAGUAGUGACAACCACAAGGAUCAUCAUUCCUUUUGUUCUGCCUAUUAUUCAAACAAUAUUUCAUUGGCACUCAUUUUGUAGGACGUGAUUGGCCCAAACCUCUAUGGCGAAGCAGCUGAACUGAACGUGCCCUAGCCCCCCUUCAAUCAAUAUUAAUACAAUAUACCACUGAUCAAUGAAAAAAAAGUUGGCAACAUUGUUCAGAAUUAUGUUUUUAAAACUUGAAAACCCUAGUUUUUAUUCAUGUUACACGUUACAACAACACUAAAGCUCGACUGAAAUUCAUAUACAUUUAACGAUUAAUAAUAUAUAUUUUGAAGGAUUUCUUUAACAUAAAGUUUAAUAAAUAAAGAAAAAAAACAAACUCAGUUUUUUUUUUUUAGUAACAUGGGUGUCCGGGUCAGCUUGCGCACACCUCAACUAAUCCCACGGGCCCUGAAGUUAACAACCAUGUAAACCUCCCGUGGUUAUCAUAUUAGCAACUACAGGGAGAGUAAACCUCUUAGUCUCAAGUUCUUACUACUGGACCAUCUACUAGAUGAUUAGAAACUCAGUUUCUUAGAAGCAGCCUGAGGUGGUUCGAUAAUCUAACACACAAACUUUGCAAUUUCAAAAAAGUAAUUGGAUAGAUUUGAGACAGUGCUAAUUAAUUCCUCCUUUAAUUUUUCCGUUACAAAUUUCUAUUAAAACCAAGAUUAUUAACUCAUUAAGGACAUGCAACAUAUACUAAUUUACCGAGAUCUUGGUUAAGUUUAACUGUAGAUCAAAUUAGACCAUUGCCGAUGAACUCCAACAGAAAUUAGCAAAGUAAUUAGAUAUGAACUUAAUCACUUU